ACCGUCUAUGAAGUUUUUAAAAUUCCACAAACAAAUUGAAGAUACUACAUGUGUCUUGUAAGGUGUAGUGGGCCAAAUUUGCCCGGCCCGAAUAAAAACAAUAAAUGAUAUAAAAAUCUAGAUAUCAAUAGUCCAUUAUUUACAACCCAAAAUCAAACCAAAUUAACCCCAAUGUUUCAAGACCCAAAUUACAAAUCCAUUUACAAAAUGACAUAGCCCAAUACCCCAAACGGCCCAGAAACUGAGCCCCAUUUUGGCAAACCCUAGGGCAAGGGUCUCCUUGUGCCGCAGCCCUCACUAGCAGCCAAACCACAUUGCGCCAGACAACGCCUCCAACAGCACCAGCGCACAGCCCUCGUACGCCACGCCCGUACCUCCGUACGAUGCCAGCAGACUCCGUACCUGCGAAAAAGACACACAGAACAGCAGCGAAUAGGGAAGAAGAAAAUAGCAUUUUCAUUUUUUGAUUUUUCUUUCUUUUCGGCUAUAAAGGCCAUGUAAUAGCCUAGGUGAGUUUUUUACGCAACAUAAACGCACAAUAGGCCAUACAGACACAAUCAAUACAUUUUGAAAUACAAAAAAGCAACGAGCAUUCGAAGGUGAUUCCGAUUCAUAAUUUCUGAGAUUUUUUCCUUUUCUUCUUGGCUUAGUUUCAUUCUCCCUGGAAUUUCUUUUUGUUCUUUCGCAUUUUGGGUUGUAUAAAAGAGAGAGGAAAUGAAAUCUUACCCCGUGAAUACGCCGUGAGAUAUCCUCUGAUUCGUUGAAAUCGGGGUCCGAGAGGAGUAUAAGGCGGAAAGAAAACCAUCUUGAGGCUCGAACAGGCCGAUCUCCAUUCAUUGCGGUGGAUUGGCAUGGCAGAUGGAGGGUCAAGGUUCGUUUGAGGGGAGUAAAAAUGGAGGCUAGGGUUUGGAGGUGCUGGCUUAAUCUGCUGAUUGAGCCAUUUUAUAGGACCUCAAACUGUGUCGCAUUGACAUCAAAGCCCGACCCGAUUCGAUUCCAAACCCGAUGACCCGCGUGUUUUUGCGGUGAGGGACUAUUUGCACAUUAAAUCCCUCCCUUUUGCGCCACGUUUAAAUCAAUCCAUAUUUUUAUUCCAUUUCUUUUAAUUUAGGCUUGUAUUUUGAGCUCAUUUGCAAUGGGGUCCGCACAUGUACACAGCGUUUUGGGAGUCUGGAAUAAUUUCAGUUUUGAUCCUUGCAUAUUCGUAUACAUUAUGCGCUGGCCCUUAUCUGUAUUUACAAAUUAUCCUUCCAUUUUAACGUGGUUUCAAUUAGACCCUCUCUUUUAUGUGAUUUCAAUUAUUUUUUUUAGAUUCACCUCAUGUUUUAUUUUAUUUUACUUGUGUUCAUUUACUCGUGUUCAUCGUCUAACUUGCAUCAUUUACUUAUUGUAAUUUGGGUAACUAUGCUUUCAUAUUUUGCGUAUUACCUCAUGUAAUUGUUUUCUUUAUAUACGCUAUUGUACAUAUAUAUUUGUACUUUACAUUAAAGUCAAUUUCAUUUCAUAUAUAUAUACAUUGUUAACCUUAUGUUAUUUUAUACAUGUGUUGUCUUAAAUUUAUUAUUGUAGUUUAUUACAUGGUCCUAUAUAAUAUAUUUUCUCAAUUAUUAUUAUAUACAUAUAUGUUUAUAGAUAUCUAUACUUGAUAUCUAUAUAUAUAUUAUUAAAUCUAUGUAUUUUAUGCAUGUAGUUUUUCUCUUUUUUCAUAUAUGUAAGUAUAUUCUUCAAUUCAUUAUAUAAUUUAUAAUAAAAUCAGUUUUAGCUUGCAUAUAUUUCUAUGUUUUUUACAAAUAAUUAUUUUUUAAAAAAAGGGGGGUUAUUUAUAUAUAUAUAAUUUGUAGAUCCAUUGCAUUUUUGAAGAUUAUAUCGUACUAUAUAUUUUUAUUAUUACCGUUUUUAAUAUAUUUUACACAUACUUUAAAUUAUUAUUCUAUACAUCCUCGUUUUUUUUUUAAAAAUCAAUAUUAUUCUACGUUUUGGUAUGAUUUUCGAUUUAAACAUUCAUUUUAUAAUAUUUUUUAAAAUGAUUAAGCGUAUAUCCCUAGUUUUUCCUUUUUUACAAAUAAAUUUUAAAUGCACCAAUUCAUUAAUUUGCAUGUCAUAAAGAUUUUUGGUUCAUUAGAUCGCAUUUGUUCCGACAUCGUCUUAUACCACUUUGACUUCUAAAUUCUAUUUUGUUUUGCAUACGCUCUUUUGGUUGCUUUAUAUAUGUACAUUCCUUGCGUGGCAUCCACCUUAUUGAACUGUUAAUUACUCAUCAUAUAUGAUUGAAAUUAGGCUAUAAUUCCUAGAUUAAUUAUAUUUAAUUGCUUGUUCUGCUAGUUGAUUCAUUAAGUAUUGUAUCUCGUAUGUGUAUAUUACCUCAUUCAUCGUUUUCCAUUUGAUUUUCGAAAUGCGGUUUUAUAAAAUCCAAAUUUUAUGAUUAAUCUCGUACUAUUUCAAAUUGAAUUAAUACGUCUUAAGCUAGCUCUAUAAUCAUUCAUUCAAAAAUUCUUUAAAAACGAAGGCAAGAUUCGAUGUUUGGCAAUUCGUGGAAUCGUGCCCUAACGUGUUGGGUUGCGAUUUCGCGUUUGCUCAAAAUAAUCGAAUAUCACUUCGAAAUUUCACUCACGCCUUUUAAAAUUCCUCAAAACGAAGACGAGGUUUGAUAUUUAGCAAUUCGCAGAAUCGUGCCCUAACGUGUUGGGUUGCAAUUUUGCGUUUGUUCAAAAUAAUCGGGCUUCCCUUCAAAAUUCCAUUCAUAUCUCCUAAAAUUUUUUAAAUGAAGGCAAUGUUCGACGUUUGAUAAUUUGAGAAUCAUGCUCUAUCGCGUUGGGUUGUGGUUCCUGGUUUGCUCAAAAUGAUCGAACAUUCCUUUACAUUCUCACUCAUGUUUAUAAAAAAAAUACUUAAAAACGAAAACGAUGUUCAAUGUUUGGCGAUUUGAGAAUCGUGCCCUAUCGUGCUGGGUUGCGCUUUUUCAUUGGUCUGAAACAAUUGAAGAUCCCUUCAGAAUUUCCCUCGCACUUUCUAAAAUCUUUUAAAAUAAAGGCGAUGUUCGAUGUUUGGCGAUUUGAGAAUCGAGCCCUAUCAUGCUGGGUUGCGCUUUCUCAUUUGCCCAAAAUAAUCGAAUAUCUCCUCGAAAUUUUCACACGUAUUUUAUAAAGUAAGGCAAUGGUCAAUAUUUAGAAAUUCGAAGAAUCGUACCCUACUGUGCUGGGUUUCGAUUUUUCGUUGGACUAAAUAGUUGAGCAUCAUUCUGUAAUUCUCAAAUUAUAUACCUUCGGGCAUCGAAACAAGAAAUUUUGGCAACCAAGUCGGAUCACUCAAACGUUAUAAAAGGAACCACAUUUCAAAAAACUUUUAAUUUUAGACAUAAGGACAGUAUUUAAUUGACUUGGUACCAAUUUUGGGCGUAGUGAGGGUGCUAAUCCUUCCUCAUGCGUAACCGACUCCCGAACCUGUUUUCUCAAAAGUUCGUAGACCAAAAUUAUUGUUUUAAUAAACCAAAAAUGUUUAUUUAAACUAACCUCAUUUUUAGGUGAUUCGAUCACACCAAAAUAAAAGAUCGGUGGCGACUCCAUAUUUUCAUUUUCCAAAAAGUCGAUUCCACCAUUUUUCAUUAAAAUAAUUUUUUUUUAAAAUCGUGGGAUGGUUUCGACAGCUUGGCGACUCCGGUGGGGAUUUGAACUUGAGAGUCGAGCCAUAAAAAUCGAUUAUUUACUGUCCUUUUGUUAAAAAACCGAAAAUUUAUUUUAAAAAUCAUGUAUAUUUCGAUUGCAUUUGAUUGUAUGUUUGUGCGGGCCUUGUAGAAUAGCACUGCAUUUCAUUGCAUGACCACUGUGGUUACACCUUCUAAGUGGAAGUAAGAAGCUACGCUUUCGUGAGGUUUUCACCUCCGCAUGGGCUAGUGGAUUGCUUCCGGGGUACAUCCGUACCUAUGAUUUCGUGAGAUUUUCAUCUCUGCAUGGUCAUAGGGAAAUGUAUCCCCUCGAACCGAACUCGAUCUAUAUGAGCUUAUAAUGGGUGAGGAUUGAGGAAUCUGCUGGUUCGGGUACCCAUUUUCCUAGAACUAAACCACAUAUAGUGAACCUUAGGAGCUAUCCUUGGGUGGAGCCGCGUCGAACCUUAGUACUUACCCGUACAUGCGUUAUAAUCACCGUUUAUGUGCUUGCAUUCUAUUGCUAUUAUUUGAUACUAACCGAUGUUUUGUUUUGAUUGUCUUUUUUGCAUGACAUUGCAUAUUAAAGGAGGCGUUAAUCUACAUUCAAUUACUAAGUUAGAAAAUUUGACAUGGAGAAUGAAUUUUUUAGUAAAGUCGAGGAUAAUGCGGCCGUUCGUGCUUGGUCGGAGAGGCUACAAUCUGAGAGAGGGGAUAGCUUGGCAGAAGGGUAUGUGUCGGAGCUGUAGGAUUUCACUCGCGUCAAUGUAGUACAGAAUAAGCUGCAAUAGUUGAGAGACAUUUGGGUUAGUUGGGAUGAAAGGAUCAAGCAGUUGUUUUACCAAAGUUAUGGUGACAUAUCCUACCUGCUAGACAUUAAAGUGGAUAAGCAUUUGUUCCGAGCCUUGGUGCAGUUUUGGAAUUCCGCAUAUAAGUGUUUUACCUUUGGAGAAGUGGAUUUGGUACCUACCAUGGAGGAAUAUACUACGCUGCUUAGAUGUCCAAAGAUUCAGGUCUGGAAGACUUAUGCCCGGGUUUUUAGUAAUCAGGCUUUCGUGAAGAAACUGAUGAGCAUUUCUGGGAUGAGCGAGUCUUGGGUCACUGCUCGGAUUCAGCAGAAAGGAGAUAGCAAAUGUGUCCCUUGGGAGAAUUUGCGAGAUUUGAUCUUGACUCAUCUAGACGAAAGAAAGAGGGUCGAUAUAUUUGCCUUAAGCAUCUACGGAUUAGUGAUCUUUCCUACGGCUUUGAGGCACGUGGACGAGGCGGUCAUUGACUUGUUUGAUCGUCUUGAAAAGGGAAUCACACCGGUACCGGCAAUAUUGGCAGAAACGUUCAGAUCUUUGAGCUUAUGUCAGAAGACGGGUGAGGGGCGAUUUAUUGGAUGUGCUCAACUAUUGAUGGUAUGGUUUCAUGGGAACUUUUGGAAGGUAGACAAGGUUUCCUAUCGAGUCUUUUCCAAAGGUUAUUCCCCUUUGAAAGAAGAGGUAGCUAUACAGAGGAGAAAGGAUAUCUCAGAAGAGAAGUGGAUGGAUAUUUUUCAGAACCUUAAGGAGGAGGAUAUCGAGUGGAGUGCUUAUUGGAUGGUUCCUGAUGAGAUCAUGUACCAAUGUGGUAACUUUGAUUGGGUGCCAUUGUUAGGAAUUUGGGGAGCUACCGGGUAUACUCCGUUGAUAGCCUUGAGGCAAUACAAGUCGAGGCAGUUUGUACCCACGACCUAUGGACUUGCUCAGAGUGAAUUCUCGUUUAAAGGUGCUCACUAUUAAAAGAGAGUUCGGGAGUUAUCGGAUGCUUGGAAGCAAACUUGUUAGAUGAAGAGGUUAGCCGUCGGUUCUAUGGUAACGCCCGAGUACAGCAAGUGGUUUAAGAAGAGGAUUAAUGAUAAUAUUCCUAGGCCAAGCUUAGAGAAUGCUCGGCCUAUCGGGGAACAAUUACAAGUCGCCCCAUCAGAAUUGGAGAUUAUAAAACAAGAUUUCGAGAAGAAGAGUUUGGAGUUUGGUAAGAAGAUCGAACAAUUAGAGGAAGAGAAGAUGCACCUAAGAUUAGAGGCUGAUGUCCAAAGGUCAGAGGCUGAGAAGUGGAGAAAAGGAAAAACUAAGGCUGAAGAAGAUCUAGACAGUUUGAAAAUGGACUACAAAAAGUUACGCCUAUCUAUGAGGAUUGCGGGUUUAGGUAAGACUUCCGAACAAUGGCGCCAUGAAAUUCGGGAAGAAAAAACCAAUACCGACCGGUGGGAAAGGAAAUUUCGAGAAACUCAAGCACGAAACGAAGAUUUGGAGAAAAGUCUAUCAGAAAGCAGAAAUGAGCAAGGGGAAUUAAGGGCUAGAGUGGCAGAACUCGAGAAGUCCCUACAUCAGUACCGAAACCGCAACACCGUGACAGAAUUGAGGGCAAGCUUGAGCAAAAUACAAGAAAUGAAAGGAAGAAUAGAAGAGUUAGAGGCGUCACUGCAAAAUUGUGAUAUGCGAAUCCAGUUUUUUGAGGCAAACGAGGAUCGUUGGAAGGAGCAACUUCACCAUGCGCAAGGCCAAGUUAGAAAUAGGGAUUACCUUAUGGGAGAGGCCAUAACCCAGAUCCGGGAGGUAGCGGACUACUUGCAAACUCUAGCGGUUCAGGCAGACACACUAAGCGUGAAAUAUGAGUUAGAGUCGGAGCGCGAACAAGAGCUGGCCUCAUUGCUUAGAAAAAUUAGGACUUUGAGCGUUAGAGCAAAAUUAUAUUUGUAACUCGACUUUAUGUAAAAGAUUUUAUUUUCAAGUAAAAUUUUCUAAGGGCUGUUGAAUCAAAAUUGAUGCCUCCUUUACAUUCAUGCAUUUGCAUUACAUCAUAUCAUUAUGCAUUAAAGGCCAUUAGAGUUUUCUAAUUAAUUAACUAAAAAUUAUUUCAAUAACCUGGAAACCAAUGAAAACCAACCACGCACCCCUACAGUACAAGGAAAAAAUCAAUGGAUAAGAGACUCGAGAAAUUAGAGCGGAUGCAAAAAGACAUGCAAGAACAAAUACAGUCUCAGAUGCAAGAGCAGCUAGCCAAGAUUCAGUGAGAGAUGAAAGAGCAAAUGAUGGAGUCCCAGAGGGAAAUGAUGAGUCAGUUAUCCCAAUUGUUGUUGGGAGGAACGGAUAAGGGAAAGGGCCCCAUGGACAAAGUUGAAGAAGCUAAUGAGGAUCCUCAAUACCCCCUGGCUUCACUCUGACACAUGUACCGGUGAAGCUCGAGAUUAAUCUACCGAAGCCAUCUGUCACGAUCAUACCCCAGCAGGUUCAGGCUGGAGCUUCAAUACUGAUGAAUUUCCAAACCGGCUUAGGCUCCAACUUUGUCAACAACCCGAACUAUCCGCCCAUUCCCGAUUUGGAUGAAAUUGCUGAAGAAGAAAAGGCGAGGAUGGAUUCGCAAAAACAAUUGGAAAAACGGUGUAGAUGGCUCGAAGAGAAAUUUAAAGCCAUGGAAAGCGCGGAUCAUCAUCAAGGGAUUAAUGCCAAGGACCUAAGUUUAGUCCCAGAUUUAGUCCUUCCCCCCAAAUUCAAAAUGCCCAAGUUCGAGAAAUACAAUGGAACAAGUUGCCCUGAAGCUCAUAUCAUUAUGUUCUGCAGGCGAAUGACGGGAUAUGUUAACAAUGACCAGCUAUUAAUCCACUACUUUCAAGAUAGUUUGGUCGGGGCGGCGUCUAAGUAGUACAACCAAUUAAGCCGCUCUAAGAUUAACUUGUGGAAGGACCUGGCCCAAGCCUUUAUGAAGCAAUACAAUCACGUGACAGACAUGACCCCUGACAGAAUCACUCUCCAGAAUAUGGAGAAGAAAUCGAAUGAAAGCUUCAGGCAGUACGUAUAAAGAUGGAGGGAGGUGGCCAUACAAGUUCAGCCGCCACUUCUAGAAAAGGAGAUAACGAUACUCUUUAUAAAUACCUUGAAGGCCCCUUUUAUCACUCAUAUGUUGGGAAGCGCCACCAAGAGCUUCUCCGACAUAGUGAUGAUGGGAGAAAUGAUCGAAAAUGCUGUAAAGAGCGGCAAGAUAGAAUCGAGAGAGAGUGCUAGGAAGUUAGCCCCGAGGAGAAAAGACAAUGAAGUGAACAACACGAGCACAUUCAACAAGGGGCAGCCCAAGUCAAUUACCGUAAAUCAACCCAAAAUGGUGACUACCAAUCAACAAAGUUCUGUAAGGCAAGAAUCCAAUGCGAGGAAGAACAUAGAAAGGCCACAAUACACCCCUAUACCCAUGUCCUAUAGAGAGUUGUACCAGAACCUGUUCAACGCUCAUGUGGUAUCCCCUUUCUACCUGGAGCCACUGCAGUCCCCGUAUUCCAAAUAGUAUGACGCGAAUGCCCAAUGUGAGUACCACGCGGGAAUCACCGGGCACUCAAUCGAAAAUUGCACUGCGUUUAAGAAAGUGGUCGAAAGACUCAUUAAGGUGGGAAUCAUGAGAUUUGAUGACCCAGCCACGCCCAAUUUAGCAGGAAACCCACUCCCUAAUCAUACCGACCAAGGAGUGAAUGGGAUAAGUGAAGGCUUGAACAAGAAGACCAAGUAUGAGGUGGCAGAAAUCAGGACCUCGUUGAAGCGGGUAUGGAAAGAGAUGACUAAGAGAGGAUUGAUAGCAUUGGAUCCAAGGGAAGAACCCGAAGAAGAGAGAAACUACUGUGAGUUUCAUGACGAGGUGGGGCAUGAAAUCCAAGAAUGUGUGGAAUUCAUGGCCCUCGUGCAGAACAUGAUAGAUAACAAAGAAAUGGAAUUCUAUGAAGAAGCUAAAAGCCUCAUAGAGGGAAAUGUAUGCGCAUCCGAGGGAGAAUCAAAGGCGUAGAAUCAAAUGCCUAAUUAUCCCGUGGUGAUCAUUUCGAGACCCAAAAAUAAUGAAGCUGGAGUAAAAAUGCCAUCGAGGGUCAUAAUCCAAAGACCUGCAGUCUUCCCUUACAAAAACAGUAAAAAGGUCCCAUGAAAUUAUGAUUGCAGUGUGACGAUGCCGGGAAAAGAGAGCCCGGUUAGCGCUUCAAUAAGGGAUCAAGAUAGAGGUUCCUAUACACAUAGCGGGAGGCGUUACGAUACAAUGAAUGAGGAGGAACAGCCCACAAAAGAAAAAGCCCAGGUGGUCAAGGAAAUGAAGGAAAAAGCAACCAAACUUGUUAAUGAGCCAGUUAACGAAGACGAGGCCAAGGAAUUUUUAAAAUUCCUAAAGCACAGCGAAUACAGUGUGGUAGAACAGCUACGUAAACAACCAGCUCGCAUUUCAGUGCUGGCCUUGCUUCUAAGCUCGGAAGUUCAUCGUAGCGCACUAAUGAAGGUCUUAAACGAGACAUAUGUUGCCAAUGAUAUCUCCGUUAACAAGCUGGACCGGUUGGUGAGCAACAUAAGUGCCGACAAUUUUAUCUUCUUUAAUGACGACGAGAUACCACCUGGGGGCAUGGGGUCGACUAAAGCUCUGCAUAUCACCACACGCUGUAAAGGGUACACGCUACUAGGUGUACUGAUUGACAAUGGAUCAGCUUUGAACGUCCUGCCAUUGACCACGCUGAACAGAUUACCUAUAGACAGCUCUCACAUGAAGGAGUGCCAGAACAUCGUGAAGGCAUUCGAUGGCACGGAAAGAAAGGUGAUGGGCAGAAUCGAGGUACCUCUCUAGAUUAGGCCAAACACAUAUGAGGUGGAUUUUCUCGUGAUGGAUAUCAAGCCCUCAUACAAUUGCUUGUUGGGGAGGCUCUGGAUACAUUUAGCUGGGGCAGUACCUUCCCCGUUGCAUCAAAAAUUGAAGCUGGUGUCGGAGGGGAGGUUGAUAACGAUUAAGGCUGAAGAAGAUAUUAUUGCAACUGUGAGCAAUAAUGCACCCUAUUUGGAGACAUAUGACGAAGCAAUCGAAUGCUCAUUUCGAUCUUUGGAAUUUGUUAACGCGACGUUCAUCACCGAGGGAAGCAAAAUUUUGGUGCCGAAAUUGUCCAAAACCACGAGGAUGAGCCUCGAGUUGACGAUUGGAAAAGGGGCCCUACCCGGAAAGGGACUUGGGAGACAUCUACAAGGAAGGAUCGAAACGCCAAUGCUGAAAGAAAAGAGAGACCGCUUCGGCUUAGGAUUUAAGCCGGAUGUGAAACAAAGGAGAAGGGAGCCAGAAAAGAAGCAAGAAAGAAGGAGAGCUCGAUUAAUGGGGGAGCAAAUCAAGUGGGAACCAAUGACAUUCCCCCAUAUAUUGAAAACAUUUGUAUCCAGGGGAAUCAUUCAUCCUGAGAGAGACACGCCAAUGAUGGGAGCUAUAAAAGAAAGUCUGGAAAGUUUGGACAUCAACGUCAUGUACGAAAAGGAGACUGGAAGGGAAAAUUUGUCGGGCAUUUGCCCCUACACGCCUGGAAGUGUUCUGGACAACUAGAUUGCGGAAGAGAUCCUUGUAGUUUUUAGAACGGAUUCAGAGUAAUGUCCAAAACACACUUAUUGCUCUAGGCCUAGGAGUGAUAAGAAUCUUUUGUGAAAUAGGCUGAUGUUUAAAAACGAUAUUUCAAUAAAAUGCACAGUUAUUAUCAUUUUUGAGCAAAUGUUCUCUCGUCCUCUUAAUUUCAUUCAUAACCAUACAAAUGAUUACUUUCGGAUUCUUUUAUUCUUGAAACAUUCUUCUAAGUAUUCUUUCAUUCGUCAUUCAUAAUCAUAUCACGCAAAUAAAUGUUUCGAAUUCUUUUGAUUCUUUGUAUCUGCCUUCGUCCUUAUAACAGGUUCCCAAAUAUUAAUGAUACGAGUGACACUGCUAGCGACUCAGAAUUUCCUUUCGAGCAAGAUGUAUGUAUGGAUGAUUCUUAGGAUUUUGAAGAUGACCAAGGCUGUAACCUAUCUCUUGAUUUGUUGAAGAUGGAGGAACAAGACGAGAAAUAAAUCCUACCUCACAAAGAAUUAAUCGAAAUUGUGAGCUUAGGAGAAGGACAAGAGGUAAAGAUCGGAAUAAGUAUCACUGCGAAAAUGAAGCGAGACCUCAUUGAAUUACUUUAAGAAUUCAAAGGUGUCUUCGCAUGGUCAUACCAAGAUAUGCCCGGGUUGGACACUGACAUCGUGGUGCAUCGACUUCCCAUAAAAGAAUAGUGUAAGCCAGUUUAGCAAAAACUCCGAAGAAUGAGGCCCGAUGUCUUGCUAAAAAUAAAGGAAGAGGUUCGAAAGCAGUUUGACGUUGGAUUUCUGAAGGUGGUAAAAUACUCAGAUUGGGUAGCCAACAUCAUCCCUGUCCCUAAGAAAGAUGGAAAAGUGCUAAUGUGUGUAGACUACAGAGAUUUGAAUAAAGCCAGCCCAAAAGACAAUUUCCCACUGCCUCAUAUCGACACCCUAGUGGACAACAUGGCGGGACAUUCACUGUUUUCAUUCAUGGAUGAUUUUUUGGGAUACAACCAGAUCAAGAUGCAUCCUGAAGAUAUGAAGAAGACCAUAUUUGUAACCAUGUAGGGCACGUUCUGUUACAAGGUGAUGCCGUUUGGAUUGAAGAAUGCGGGGACAACUUAUCAAAGAGCUAUGGUAACCUUUUUUCACGACAUGAUGCAUAAAGAAAUCGAGGUUUAUGUCGAUGACAUGAUCGUAAAGUCUCGAACAGAGAAGGAGCACAUACAAGUCUUGAGGAAAUUGUUCUUGAGGUUGAGGAAGUUCCAGCUAAAACUCAACCCAGCCAAAUGUACCUUCGGAGCUAAAUCCGGAAAGUUGCUCGGAUUCGUGGUUAGUGAGAAAGGGAUUGAGAUCGAUCUAGACAAAGUUAAAGCCAUACAAGAGUUAUCCUCGCCGCGCACUAAAAAAGAAGUUCGAGGCUUUCUAGGAAGAUUAAAUUACAUUGCUCGGUUCAUUUCACAACUGACCGAGAAAUGUGGCCCUGUCUUUCGCCUCCUCAAGAAACAUAACCCAGGUGAAUGGGAUGAAGAAUGCCAAAGGGCUUUCGACAAGGUUAAACAGUACUUAUCCAACGCCCCGGUGCUGAUGCCACCUAACCCCGAUAAGCCGUUGAUACUGUAUUUGGCAGUAUUCGAGAACUCUAUGAGAUGCAUGCUGGCUCAGCAUGAUGAGUCAGGAAGGAAAGAAAAAGCUAUUUACUAUCUCAGUAAAAAGUUUACGGAAUGUGAGACAAUGUACCCGUCGAUAGAGAAGUUGUGUUGUGCCCUAAUAUGGACAACCCGCAGGCUGAGGCAAUAUAUGUUGUAUCACACCACUUGGCUCAUAUCAAAGUUGGACCCUUUAAAGUACAUGAUGGAGUCAACAACCUUAAAUGGAAGGAUGGCCCGAUGACAGAUUCUGCUUUCUAAAUUCAACAUAGUCUAUGUGAACCAAAAAGUAAUAAAAGGAAGUGCGAUAGCAGAUUUUCUAGCCAGUAGAGCUUUGGAAGACUACGAGCCUUUGAACUUCGACUUUCCGAAUGAAGACCUAAUGUGUAUUGCUACGACUGAAGAAGGUGCUCUGGAAGAACUUCUUUGGAAACUGAACUUCGAUGGGGCAUCAAAUGCUGUGGGCAAUGGAAUCGGGGCCGUCUUGGUAUCCCCAAAACGAGAUCAUUACCCAUUCACUAGUAAAUUGGAUUUUGAUUGUACAAAAAAUAUGGUGGAAUAUGAAGCGUGCAUCAUGGGUAUCCGUGCAGCCAUAGAACGUAAGAUUAAAGUGCGAGAGGUGUAUGGAGAUUCUGCGCUAGUGAUUUAUCAACUCAAGGGAGAAUGGGAGACUAGAGACCUCAAGUUAAUCGAUUAUCGGAAGCUGGUCCUUGAGUUGAUUAAAGAGUUUGAUGACAUUACCUUCCACUACCUUCCACGAGACAAAAAUCAGAUGGCUGACGCUUUGGCUACCUUAGCCUCCAUGAUCAAGGUGAACAAACAAGAAGAUGUCAAACCCAUCCGAAUGAACAUUUAUGAAAUUCCGGCCCAUUCUUACAAUAUUGAAAAAGAUGAAGAGAAAGAUGAUCACCCUUGGUAUCACGAUAUAUUGCAAUAUGUGAAGAAUCGUGAGUACCCGGACCAGGCAAGCGAGAAUGAAAAAAGAACGCUAAGAAGAUUGGCCAUCGACUACGUCUUAGAUGGGGAUAUAUUAUACAAAAGAAGAAAGGAUCAAGUGCUACUAAGAUGUGUAGACGCUGUAGAGGCUAGGAAAAUCUUGGAAGAAGUCCAUGAAGGCGUCUGUGGGACACAUGCUAAUGGCUUUACAAUGGCCAGGCAAAUUAUGAGAUUCGGGUACUAUUGGUCCACCAUGGAAGGAGACUGUGUCAAUUACGCUAAGAGAUGUCAUAAGUGUCAAAUCUACGGAGACAAAAUUCUUGUGCCUCCUUCACCGUUGCAUGUCAUGGUUUCUUCAUGGCCAUUCUCUAUGUGGGGCAUGGAUGUGAUUAGACCAAUAUCGCCGAAAGCUACCAAUGGGCAUCGAUUCAUCUUCGUGGUUAUCGACUACUUCACCAAGUGGGUAGAAACUGCUUCGUAUGCUAGUGUGACCAAGUCGGCAGUGAGCAAGUUUCUGAAAAAGGAUAUUAUAUGUCGAUAUGGAAUGCCGGAGAGGAUUAUAUCCGACAAUGCAUUAAACUUGAACAAUAGUACGAUAGCAGAAGUCUGCAGUCAAUUCAAGAACAGACAUCACAACUCGUCACCAUAUCGCCCAAAGAUGAAUGGGGCAGUGGAAGCGGCCAAUACAAACAUUAAGAAAAUUGUGGGGAAGAUGACCAAAACCUACAGAGACUGGCAUGAGAAGUUACCAUUUGCCCUCUUCGCUUAUCGAACGUCAGUCAAAACCUCAACUGGGGCAGCCCCUUUUUCUUUGGUCUACGGAAUGGAAGCGGUGUUGCCGAUCGAGGUCGAGAUCCCGUCCCUUCGAGUGUUGUUGGAGUUAAAUUUGGAAGAAGCCGAGUGGAUCCAAUCUCGAUAUGAUCAAUUGAACCUAACGAGGAAAAAAGGUUAAAAGCUAUUCGUCAUGGUCAGAUGUACCAAAAAUGAAUGAUGCAGGCUUAUGAUAAAAAGGUUCGUCCUAGAGAAUUCCACGAGGGAGACCUGGUUUUGAAAAAGAUUCUUCCCAUACAGAAAUAUUUUCGGGGAAAAUGGAUGCCUAAUUGGGAAGGGCCUUACGUAGUGAAGAAAGCUUUCACUGGAGUAGCAUUGAUUCUAGCCGAGAUGGACGAUAGAAACUUGCCCAAUCCUGUAAACUCGGACUCGGUCAAGAAGUAUUUUACCUGAAGAAAGAGAGGCCUGAGUGAAAACCCACAAAGGGUGCUCUGAAAUCCAAAAAAAAACCCGGAGAGGCCAAGGUGAAAACCCACAAAGGGUAUUUUGGAACCAAAGGGGCUUUUGAGUUGAAAACCCAAAAACGGGCAGCUCAAAUUUUGAAUAUGGGGCAUAUGGCGGUCUUGUCCUUCCAAAAUCAACAAGACAGAAGAACAUUACACCUUGGAGCAUCAACAAAAUACGCGGGAUCUCCUGAACACACAUUUGGUUCGAAUGAACCUUUGAGAAAUUAGAAUAGUGAAACUCGUGCUGCGAUAUCUGGGGCAUCUUUUUCUCAUUUUUCGCACCUUACCAGAUUCAUUAUCCUAUGUAUUCACAUCAAAAUUUGCUUAAUAAAAUGACAUUUGUCCAUUAUGAUAAUCUCUUUCGAGCAGUUUUGUCGAAAUCGCGAUUUUUGAACAUGUAAUAUCUACAUAAAAGAUGUUAUGCAUAUUACUCUGGAAAAGUCUCUAAAUAGUACAAGGACCUGAAACAGGGCCACUAGUCAGAACUAACCAGGUUCAAAGUUGGAAAAUAUUGGAAAAAGAGAAAUCCAAAUUAGGACUAUUUCUUCAAAUUUUCUGGCAGAGAUAACGGCUAAGUAAGAAAACGUGAUAGCACAUCAAUGAUGGAACCCGGACGAAUCAUGAGCAAUGAUACCUUAAACGUUUGAAGAGGAAUUAUUCUCAUAGCACUUCUACAUUCAUAAUCAUUCAUUUAGUUAGGAGCACUUGAUUCAUUUCGAUCAUAGCAUUCUAAUUAUCUGACAUAAACACCACAUCUAGUUAGGGACAUUUGAUUCAUCUCGAUCAUAGUAUCCUAAUUACUUGAUACAGGAAACCAAUUCUACAAAUCAUGUCUUUGGAAGACAGUGUAGUGACAUUGGCGAAUCCUACAGAUCCUGCUUCCCUGAAGUUGCAGUGGAGCAGAUCGAAGACGACAAAUCUUGACUUCCUGAAGUUGCAGUGAAGUAGAUUUAAGUCACUAACCUAGCUCCCUAAAGUUGUAGUGGAGUAGGUUGAGAUUUUAGAUCCUACUUCCCUGAAGUUACAGUGGAGCAGAUCAAAAACGACGAAUCCUGACUUCCUGAAGUUGCAGUGAAGCAGAUUUAAGUCACUAACCUUGUUCCCUAAAGUUGUAGUGGAGUAGGUUAAAAUUUUAGAUCUCGUUUCCCUGAAGUUGCAGUGGAGUAAAUCAAAGACAACGAAUCUUGACUUCCUGAAGUUGCAGCAAAGCAGAUUUAAGUCACUAACCUAGCUCCCUAAAGUUGUAGUGGAGUAGGUUGAAAUUUUCGAUCUCGUUUCCCUGAAGUUGCAGUGGAGCAGAUCGAAGACGGCGAAUCUGAGCUUCUUGAAGUUGCAGUGAAGCAGAUUUAAGCCACUAACCUAGCUCCCUAGAGUUGUAGUAGAGUAGGUUGAAAUUUUAGAUCUCGUUUCCCUGAAGUUGCAGUGGAGCAGAUCGAAGACGGCGAAUCUGAGCUUCCUGAAGUUGCAGUGAAGUAGAUUUAAGCCACCAACCCAGCUCCCUAAAGUUGUAGUGGAGUAGGUUGAAAUUUUAGAUUUUGUUUCCCUGAAGUUGCAGUGAAACAGAUCGAAGACGGUGAAUCUUGACUUCUUGAAAUUGCAAUGAAGUAGAUUUAAGCCACCAUCCUAGCUCCCUAAAGUUGUAGCGGAGUAGGUUGAAGAUUGUAGAUCUUGUCUCCCUGAAGUUGCAGUGGAGCAUAUUGAAGCUACUUGAAGAAAAAAAGUACCAAGAAGUCGAGGCUCAGCAGGUCCUGGCAAAUUUGGCCCAUUUAUAGUCUUUACUUUAUUCUCGUUACACGACAAUAUGCAAAGAAGGGCAGCUGUAGUGGGCCAAAUUUGCCCGGUCCGAAUAAAAAUAAUAAAUGAUAUAAAAAUCUAGAUAUCAAUAGUCCAUUAUCUGUCCAAUUACAACCCAAAAUCAAACCAAAUUAACCCUAAUGUUUCAAGACACAAAUUACAAGUCCAUUUACAAAAUGACAUAGCCCAAUACCCCAAACGGCCCAGAAACUGAGCCCCAUUUUGGCAAACCCUAGGGCAAGGGUCUCCUUGUGCCGCAGCCCUCACUAGUGGCCAAACCACAUUGCGCCAGACAACGCCUCCAACAGCACCAGUGCACAGCCCUCGUACGCCACGCCCGUACCUCCGUACGAUGCAGGCAGACUCCGUACCUGCGAAAAAGGCACAUAGAACAGCAGCGAAUGGGGAAGAAGAAAAUAGCAUUUUCAUUUUUUGAUUUUUCUUUCUUUUCGACUAUAAAGGCCAUGUAAUAGCCUAGGUGAGUUUUUUACGCAACAUAAACGCACAAUAGGCCAUACAGACACAAUCAAUACAUUUUGAAAUACAAAAAAGCAACGAGCAUUCGAAGGUGAUUCCGAUUCAUAAUUUCUGAGAUUUUUUCCUUUUCUUCUUGGCUUAGUUUCAUUCUCCCUGGAAUUUCUUUUUAUUCUUUCGCAUUUUGGGUUGUAUAAAAGAGAGAGGAAAUGAAAUCUUACCCCGUGAAUACGCUGUGAGAUCUCCACUGAUUCGUUGAAAUCGGGGUCCGAGGGGAGUAUAAGGCGGAAAGAAAACCAUCUUGAGGCUCGAACAGGCUGAUCUCCGUUCAUUGCGGUGGAUUGGCAUGGCAGAUGGAGGGUCAAGGUUCGUUUGAGGGGAGUAAAAAUGGAGGCUAGGGUUUGGAGGUGCUGGCUUAAUCUGCUGAUUGAGCCAUUUUAUAGGACCUCAAACGGUGUCGCAUUGACAUCAAAGCCCGACCCGAUUCGAUUCCAAACCCGAUGACCCGCGUGUUUUUGCGGUGAGGGACUAUUUGCACAUUAAAUCCCUCCCUUUUGCGCCACGUUUAAAUCAAUCCAUAUUUUUAUUCCAUUUCUUUUAAUUUAGGCUUGUAUUUUGAGCUCAUUUGCAAUGGGGUCCGCACAUGUACACAGCGUUUUGGGAGUCUGGAAUAAUUCCAGUUUUGAUCCUUGCAUAUUCGUAUACAUUAUGCGCUGGCCCUUACCUGUAUUUACAAAUUAUCCUUCCAUUUUAACGUGGUUUCAAUUAGACCCUCUCCUUUAUGUGAUUUCAAUUAUUUUUUUUUAGAUUCACCUCAUGUUUUAUUUUAUUUUACUUGUGUUUAUUUACUCGUGUUCAUCGUCUAACUUGCAUCAUUUACUUAUUGUAAUUUGGGUAACUAUGCUUUCAUAUUUUGCGUAUUACCUCAUGUAAUUGUUUUCUUUAUAUACGCUAUUGUACAUAUAUAUUUGUACUUUACAUUAAAGUCAAUUUCAUUUCAUAUAUAUAUAUACAUUGUUAACCUUAUGUUAUUUUAUACAUGUGUUGUCUUAAAUUUAUUAUUGUAGUUUAUUACAUGGUCCUAUAUAAUAUAUUUUCUCAAUUAUUAUAUACAUAUAUGUUUAUAGAUAUCUAUACUUGAUAUAUAUAUUAUUAAAUCUAUGUAUCUUAUGCAUGUAGUUUUUCUCUUUUUUUAUAUAUGUAAGUAUAUUCUUCAAUUCAUUAUAUAAUUUAUAAUAAAAUCAGUUUUAGCUUGCAUAUAUUUCUAUGUUUUUUACAAAUAAUUAUUUUUUAAAAAAAAGGGGGGUUAUUUAUAUAUAUAUAAUUUGUAGAUCCAUUGCGUUUUUGAAGAUUAUAUCGUACUAUACAUUUUUAUUAUUACCAUUUUUAAUAUAUUUUACACAUACUUUAAAUUUUUAUUAUAUACAUCCUCGUUUUUUUUAAAAAUCAAUAUUAUUCUAUGUUUUGGUAUGAUUUUCGAUUUAAACAUUCAUUUUAUAAUAUGUUUUUUUAAAUGAUUAAGCGUAUAAUUCUAGUUUUUCCUUUUUUACAAAUAAAUUUUAAAAUGCACCAAUUCAUUAAUUUGCAUGUCAUAAAGAUUUUUGGUUCAUUAGAUCGCAUUUGUUCCGACAUCCUCUUAUACCACUUUGACUUCUAAAUUCUAUUUUGUUUUGCAUACGCUCUUUUGGUUGCUUUAUAUAUGUACAUUCCUUGCGUGGCAUCCACCUUAUUGAACUGUUAAUUACUCAUCAUAUAUGAUUGAAAUUAGGCUAUAAUUCCUAGAUUAAUUAUAUUUAAUUGCUUGUUCUGCUAGUUGAUUCGUUAAGUAUUGUAUCUCGUAUGUGUAUAUUACCUCAUUCAUCGUUUUCUAUUUGAUUUUCGAAAUGCGGUUUUAUAAAAUCCAAAUUUUAUGAUUAAUCUCGUACUAUUUCAAAUUGAAUUAAUACGUCUUAAGCUAGCUCUAUAAUCAUUCAUUCAAAAAUUCUUUAAAAACGAAGGCAAGAUUCGAUGUUUGGCAAUUCGUGGAAUCGUGCCCUAACGUGUUGGGUUGCGAUUUCGCGUUUGCUCAAAAUAAUCGAAUAUCACUUCGAAAUUUCACUCAUGCCUUUUAAAAUUCCUCAAAACGAAGACGAGGUUCGAUAUUUAGCAAUUCGCGGAAUCGUGCCCUAACGUGUUGGGUUGCAAUUUUGCGUUUGCUCAAAAUAAUCGGGCUUCCCUUCAAAAUUCCAUUCAUAUCUCCUAAAAUUUUUUAAACGAAGGCAAUGUUUGGCGUUUGAUAAUUCGAGAAUCAUGCUCUAUCGUGCUGGGUUGUGGUUCCUGGUUUUCUCAAAAUGAUCGAACAUUCCUUUACAUUCUCACUCAUGUUUAUAAAAAAAAUACUUAAAACGAAGACGAUGUUCAACGUUAUAAAUAGUUGAGCAUCCUUCUGUAAUUCUCAAAUUAUAUACCUUCGGGCAUCGAAACAAGAAAUUUUGGCAACCAAGUCGGAUCACUCAAACGUUAUAAAAGGAACCACAUUUCAAAAAACUUUUAAUUUUAGACAGAAGGGCAGUAUUUAAUCGACUUGGUACCAAUUUUGGGCGUAGUGAGGGUGCUAAUCCUUCCUCAUGCGUAACCGACUCCCGAACCUGUUUUCUCAAAAGUUCGUAGACCAAAAUUAUUUUUUUAAUAAACUAAAAAUGUUUAUUUAAACUAACCUCAUUUUUAGGUGAUUCGAUCACACCAAAACAAAAGAUCGGUGGCGACUCCAUAUUUUCAUUUUCUAAAAAGUCGAUUCCACCAUUUUUCAUUAAAAUAAAUUUUUUAAAAAAAAAUCAUGGGAUGGUUUCGACAUAAGAUAUAUUAAGAAUUUAAAAACAAAAAAAAAUGCUCAUUGGAAUCUAGGUUUUUUCAUUGAAAAUUGGGUCCAAAUGAGUUCUUCAGUAAGUUCUUGAAUUUUCCAUUAUGGGUGUUCUUUGAUGAAGAACAAAAAAGAUAAAUAUGUUUAUAAGUUUUUUUUUUCUAAAGGCUGAAGGAAAUAAUAUUGAACUUUUUAGAUUAUUUAGUUAAAAAUUGGCAAGUGUGACUAAAUGAUUGGCUAAAAGAUUUUUUAACACUUUGGGUAAUUUUACUAAUAGGGUAUAGUUUAGGUAUCAAUUUAGGAAAAUGAGUAUAAUUUAAGUAUCAUUUUGUGAUUUAAGCUUUUUUUUCACAAUUUUUUUAUAAUGACUUAAUCCCCUUAAAAUAUGGUGUUAGAGACAAUGUUGUACAACAAUGUUUGUUCAAUGACCUGAUCGAUCAUAGACUAGAUUAGUCAAGGUAUGAGACAACUUAGGCAUAUUAUAUGUUGAAAUUUUUUGGCAUGGGUCUUGUUGGAUGUUAUUUUAAUAAGCAAAUGAGCCUCUUCAACCUUCUCAUUCUAGUAUUCAAAGCUAAAAUUAAAGAGGUAUUUAUAAAGAGUUUAAGCAUGUGGAAGAGAUUGAAUUCGACUUGGAUUUAUAGUGAGAUUUUUUCUCAAUCUCAAAUAUGUGUUUCAUGGCUAUUUUUAAUGAGGUUUCUUCUAUUUAACUUGAGACUUUAUUAAUAAAUAUUUUUUAUUAUAUUUGGCAUAAAAAAGUCAAGUUAAUCUCGAUUUAUUUGAACUCAUCCUUCUUGCCCGUGAAGCCUAUAAAUAGGAUGUUAUGUCACACAUUAGAAAGGGGCCUUUUGAGUGCUUUCGUCUGGUUAUUUUGUUUUUUGUUUUACUUAGUAUACACUCUUGUGCUAGGUUUUUAUUAGAGAGUUUAUAUUUUAUGUGGGUGAGUUUUUUUAAGUGAGUGAUUUGUAGCAAUUGGGGUCAGUGUUAGGUUGCAAUUACUACUUUCUGUAAGGGUAUAUUAGAAUCAAACCAAUAACUAUUUCAAAAGAUUGUUGAAUAAGAAUUAUUCACAGAGUGAAGAUCCGUAGUGUAGAAUUGUUUCCAAACUGUGUUAACAAAUAACUGUGUGCAAAUCUAUCUUUACUUUCUUUGUUUUACAUUUUUUGUAUCGCUAUCUAAUCAAUAUUAUAAUUGAACACGACAUUGAACAAAAAGAUUAAACUUAUAGCAAAUUGACGUGUUUCUUCAAAUGGUAUGAGAGCAGGCUUCAAAUGUUGUUUAGAAAUGGUCCUAAGAACUAUAUAUUGUCAUGGAAACUAUGAGAGAAGGAAAUUUUAUCACAUGAACACCUCUACUAUUUGGCUCCUCAAACUAUGCUUAUUGGAAAGCCCAAAUGAGAUCUUUCAUCAUGUCAGUUAAUGAAUCUACUUGGGAAGCAGUUAAGGAAGGUUGGAGUAGGCCCGAGGUUAUAGGUACUGAUAGGUUAACUAAGCCAAAAUAAAAGAACAAGUAAACAGUUUAUGAGAGAAGGCUGCCCAAACAAACUCAAAAGCUCUUUAUGCGAUUUUUAGUAGAAUUGACAUGGAAUAGUUUAGGAUGAUCUCAACCUAUGAAACCACUAAAGAAGCAUAGACCAUCUUGUAGAACCAACAUGAAAAGAAUUCUUCUAUUUGUCAAGGAAACAUAUAUCUAUAAGUAUGAAUGAAGAAAUAUGGCUUUGAGAGAUAUCUGAAUUUAAAAUGAUGAUAAUGGUUACCUGGAUGGGUUCUAACAAUGUGUUUCAGUUCUACAAGGCAAAAGAGGUAGUAGCAUCCUACUGAAUGAUGGAUCUGAAGGCUAAACUAUCAUUUGAGGUUAUCAUGUGAGUCCCUAGGUUGACUUUUGCAUGUAGUAUCUAGGAACUUCUAUGCUAAGUGACCAAAUAGUGAAUGAAACUAGAAAAGUAUGAUGUUGUAACGCCCUAAAAUUUUGUACAUUUUGACUUUUGUAAAUCGGUAGCACAAAAAUAUCUGUAUAUGUUUUUGGUAAAUUAUGACACAUAACUGCGUAUUUGCUUCAGUGGUUAAGUGUUCUCGGUGUGUGUGAAAAGUCUCAAGUUCAAGCCUUGUCUUGGGAAAAUUUUUGGUAUUCUUCUGAAAUAAGCCCUAUUUCUAAUCAGUGGGCUUUUAUUUUAAUUGAUGGUAAGUUUAUAUCAAAAUGGGCUUACUGGUCUGAUGGUUAAGGUAUAUGUUAGUGUGUUGGGGGUCUUGGGUUUGAGUCUCUGCGUUAGCAAGGGGUAUUAUUUUUGUUCGAAUUUCGAUGAGAGUUGUCCCGAAGUUAGAUUCUAAAUAGUUGGCUAUUAGUAGGUUAGUGGGGAAAGAUUUGAGGGAUAGGGGGUUAUUGGAAUUAUCUUCAUUAUUUUCUUUUGCUAUUUUGAAAAUUCGAUCCUCCCUCUUAAAGAAAAACUCUGUCAUUGUUGUUUCUUCCUGCUGUCGUUACUUUCUCUCUUUCACCAUUUUGACAAUAGUUAGCCAUUUCUCCUUGUUUCUCUGCUAUCGUAAGCUAGUAUUUCGAUAUUUCAUCACUGUUCUGUGUUCUGGUAAGUGGGUAAGUGUGUUUAAAAUUUUGUGAUUUGAAUCAUUGAUUAAUGGGGUUUAUUCCGUGUUUAGGAGAUGAUUAAGGGGUUAUGGAUUCCAAUUGGUGCUAGGGUUGUUUGGAUUCACUGUCGUUCGUUCUAAGUUAAGAGCUCUUGUAGAAUAAAGGGUUGGUCGUGUUAAGGUGCUUCAAUUUGUUCUUGAUAUAAGUGUUUAAUUGGUGUUUUUUGGUCAAUUAUAAGUGCUGGUAAUCUUGGGAUCGUGGCUGCUACGAAAACAAACCAGGUGUAUGUAACACCCCUCGCCCGUAUCCCUCGCUGAAACAGGGUUCGAGGUGUUGCCCGACUUAAACUCAGUCAAUCACACAAAAACAGUGCCGAAAAAUUUCAAUCAAUUUAAAACUUUUCUUUUCACAUGCAAUCUGUCCCAUAUAUGGGCUUACGAGGCCCAAAACAUCACUAGCCAACACCUUUGGCUAAAUUAUAAUAUCACAUACUCAACAUUAAAACCCUAUACAUGCCAUAGACUCGAAAUACUAGGAUUUACUUACACCAAUAGCGUGAGCUCGACAGUGUGAUAAUAUCUCCGGCGAACUCCAACCCGAGCAGGUAACCGAAGUUAACAAUCUAUAAAACAGAGGAAUGUAACAACAGAGUAAGCUUUCAUAAGCUUAGUAAGUCUUAAGCAAUGCAAACAAAUAAACGCAAUUAUACUUCGAUUAUUCAAUUUCUUAAGUGGCCAUAUUCUAGGUAUAUUGCCAUCUGGCCGAAUACACACAACACAUAAUGCACGUUCAGCAUUCUUAUCACACUUAAUCUGAAUUCGUAAAACAUAAUUAAAUCGAAUACUUUCACAUACUUUCACACCCUGACCCGGUGUAUCAUGAUCAUAGAUAUAGUUAUAACAUUUAUUCACGUAUGUAUCACAAUGCACGCUUAUGAUUCAUUGCAGAUCAAAUUCACAUAUGAGUACAUAAUGCGUACCUGGCCCACUUAACGUACUGAAUGUAUUCAUUUGUCAACCUAACACGAGGUACCUUAGUCAUGUACUUUUCUCAAAUCACCGGCAUUUCGCCUGUUAGGCUCGAGGCCCGAUAUCAGUUCACCGGCAUUAUAGCCUGCUAGGCUCGAAGGCCCGAAUAGUAUCUCACCGGCAUUAUAGUUUGCUAAGCUCAAAGGCCGGAAUAAUCAAGUCAACAAGUUCCAUAUAACAUAUUCAUAUCAAUUAAGUACUAACAUCAUUCGAACGUAUAUAAUUAUACAUCUCAAACACUUUUCUUUCAUCUCAUUUUCACACUUAGCAUUUGAUAGCUUAUGCAUAACAUUUCACUCACGUUCAUUUCAAACUUAUCAUUCGAUUAUAAAAGCAUAUUGCAUUUUUACCAACAUGUUAUACUUGCCAUUAGGCCAUAUAAGUAUGAUACAAUACACUAUCAUUUCAUCUUUAACAUUCGGCUAAACCCUUAUCUUACAAGGAACAUCAAAUUCACAUAACAUAUCAUUUCACCGGCAUUACGCCUGCUAGGCACAAAGGCCCGAAUACACAUCACCGGCACGAAGCCUGCUAGGCACGAAGGCCCGAAUACACAUCACUGACAUUAAGCCUGCUAGGCACGAAGGCCCGAAUACACAUCACCGGCACUAAGCCUGCUAGGCACGAAAGCCCGAAUAUAAUACCAGCACUAGGCCUGCAGGAUUUAUCCCGGAUACACAUCAAAUAUCAUGCAUAUUUAAUCAUAUAUUAAUACAUCUCAUUCAACAUAUCACAUUCGUAGUCAUUUGCAACAUUCGGGUAUAAGCUCCAUAUGAACACCAUCGUUUACAUUUCGGUUCAAAAGUCAUUCAUAAAUAUCACAUAUCCAUUUCACCAUUCAAACUUAACCCAUAGUGACCAUUCGACUAUAAGUCAUUUACAUAAAUUAUUUAUCGCACAACUUAAUUCAAGUAGAACCAAAAGGUCACGAUUCAUCUAAUAUAUACAUAUUGCUCACUGAUUCACACACAACCUUUCAAAUUAGCAAUUAUAAGAUGGUUCCGCACAUAGCCCAUCCUUAUCGAUAAUUUCUGAUGGUUUUACCCUUACUCACAUAUAUGUCAUAGGCAUUUUUACCUAUGCUUCACAAUUCACAUUCAUGAUUCAAUUCCAAUCGAUUUAACAUGCAUAAGUACAUAUCACAUACCUUAAUAAUUUACUUUACAGAACGAAUCCACAUAUUGUAUUAGCCCAUAGUCUUAUAGCACCACACUUUUAAUAGUUUACCUCAUCGAAGUUCACAUUUAAUCACUUUAGUGCCAAGCCAUAUUCGGCUACCAUAAAGGACUAAUAAUAAUAAUUUUAUACACAUCAUGGUUUCCUUUAGGUAUUUAAUAAUCACAAAUCGUGAUAUCUUCACCAGCACAUAUACGCCACAGUUUAUUCAUUGUAACACUUAUUUAGUGCAUCAAAUUUCUAAAUCCAAUUCAACUUAAGCAUAAUAGCCAUAAUCGGCUUAUAGCCUUAAAUCAUUACAUAUUCGACACAUUAACUAAAUAAAAUUUACAUUCCCUUUUCCAUAUUAAUUUAACUCUUGGGCAUAUAAAAAGGAAUCAAGCUUAAACACUUAAGAACUUACCUUGAAUGUUGCCGAACGAUUACAACGGCUAUUCGAUUACUUUCUCUUUUCCCUUAUCCGAAUUUUGCCCCUCUAUGCUCUUGAGCUUCAAUUCAAAUAUUUUAAACCAGUCAUUAUUCGACUAUUCGAGCAUCACUUUCAAAAUAUAAUAUAUACAUAUAUAUAUUCGACUUUCACUCCUACUGAUCAUAGUAAGCUUAUAAGAAAUCAAUAAGCAACUCAUUAACAAAUUUUUGUCAAUGUUUACCACAUAAUCAUAAUUUCACUGUAAGCUGUCUUCCUGAGCAACAGUCACUGUAAGCUAAGAAACUCCAAAUCAAGUGUCGUUAAUUUUCCCUAAAGAUAGACUCAUAUAUCUUUCAUCCAUAAAAUUUUAAGAAUUUUUGGUUUGGCCAAUCAAUACCAUAUUUUUCUUAAAGUUUCCCCUGUUUCACUGUUUGACUAAUCUGACCACUCCUCACUACGAAUCAAAUUUCUCAUUUUACAGAAUUCAAAAUAUGUUCUCGUUUAUUUCAUUUGAAACUAGACUCAUUAAGGAGUCUAAGAAUAUAAAUUUCAUCUUAUGAACAUUGUUUUACAAUUUAUAAUGAUUUUAUAAAGACAGAACAGAGGAUCUAGAAGUCAUUCUGACCCUGUCCCACAUCACUUCAAAUAUCUCAUUAUCGGAAAUUUGUUUGCUUACACAGUUUGUUUUAUAAGAAAUUAGGCUCAUUAAGCUUUAAUUACAUAAUUUAUUCAGCUUCUAACUCAUCUCCCACAAUUUAUGGUGAUUUUCCAAAAUCACGUUACUGCUGCUGUCCCAAAUAGAUUUAUUACCAAAUCACUCUUUCACACAUACCUUGCAUGCAUGUUAUUUAAACAUGCAUAUCACCAAUCAAUCAUCACAUAUAUAUAAUUUUGCUUAAGCAUAAUCUUCAUUUCGUCAUUUUAAAGCACAACAUGUUAGCCGCUUUUUCCCUUAGCAUCUAAGGCACAUGCAUGCUCAUUUGCUUGGCUCAACUUCACCUAUCUUCCAUUUUUCAUCAAAAGGACAUGAAACAACAACCAUUUCCUUCAUUUUAAUUCAUGACCGAAUGCUCACAACACAACCAAAAAUCAAAAUAUGCUUCAUGAAUUAGGGUAGAAUCAAGAAGAACUCAUGAGCAUCAAGAUAGAAGCAAACUACCAUGAACUUACCUUGGAUUUUUCUUCCCCAAGUGACCGAACAUUCAAGAGCUCUUUUCCUCUCCUUUCUCUUCUAUUUUCAUCUUUCAUGAACAAGAAUGAACAAAAACCUUCCUUUUCUUCCUUUUUGUUAUUCUAUUACUAAACAUUUUAUGACACAAAAUAACAUAUAUUAUUUGUGCCAUACUUAUGCCAUAACUUCAAUAAAAAAAUUUGCACAUGUUGUCUACCAUUAAUACCAUGGCCAGCCACUACACAUAAAAUGGGGAGUUUGACAUGCAAAUCCUCCUAUUUUGCACUACUAUUUAUUAGGCCACUACAUAUUAGCCUAUAGCAUUUUCAAAAAUUUUCACAUAGGUCCUAUUUCAUAAUUUCACUCACAAAUGGCAGAAUCAAAGCAUGGGAUUUUCACACAUGCACUUUCACAUGAAAUAAACACAUAAUAUAACAUUUGAUUAUUUUUGGGACUCGGUUUUGUGAUCCCGAAACCACUUUUCGACUAGGGCCAAAUUAGGGCUGUCACAGUGUGUACCCGAAAACACAGAAAAUAAGAAUCGACGGAAGUUGAAAAAUGAAACUGUUGACGCCACAUAGGCAUGUGGUCGACCGUAUGGUAGGCCGUGUCGCAACACACGAGCGUGUGAUCAACGAGCCAGGCCAUGUGCGUAAGACACGAGCGCAUGACACGACCGCGUGAAGGUCGGUGAGGCCAUGUGUGACAUACGACCUAGACCUAUUGGGUCAUGUGGGCUACACGGGCAUGUGGGCCUACAUGGGUGAACCACACAAACGUGUGGGAUUCUAGGCCAGGCCAUGUGAUCCACACGGCCAAGGCCAAUUUAGGCCGUGUGGGCCACACAGGCGUAUGGGCCCACAUGGGCAGGCCACAUGAGCAUGUGAGCCCAUUUUUCUGAAAUAAUCUGUAAGGUUACACGGGUCACCCAAGUUGACUGUGGACCUACCGUAGGGUCGGUAAGCAUUAAAUAGACCCCUCAUUGAGUAUUCUGACUAUUUGAUUCUGUAGUGAGCAUGUACUGAAUGUAUGAUCUGAUAUAUUGCAUGAUAGCAUGUCAUUUUUGUAUGUUGCAUUGCAUUGGGGUUGGGAUAAAGACAUUUGGAGGAAGUGUUCUGAAAGGCUUUUAAGCCUGAUAUCUGGCAUUUCAGCUGCGAUUAUCUGUCAAUGUGCCGCAUUUCGGUACAGCAUGGUGUGUAAGGAUGGGUGGGCCGAUUUUAUCCCCACAUGGUAUGUAGGGUUGGACGAAGAUGGUGUGUAGAGGUUGGUGGGUAGGAUUCUGAUAUUUUGAUCUGCAUACUAUAUUUGAUUGGGCUGAGGCCCUAAUAUGUUUCUGACUCUAUAUCUGAGCUGGGCUAAGGCCUAACCGAUUUUGUAAAAGGGCUCCAGCCCUAGAUUGUUUGUUAUGACCCAUGAUGUGUAUUCUGUAUGUUUGUUAUCUGUAGGGAUUACACACUGAAUUGCGAAACUCACAUUUUUUUGUUUAAUCUGCAUAGGUAAUCCCUAGCAUUAGUGGAUCGGUGUAGUGGAGGACUCGACGAUGGCCACACGUAGUAACUUUAGACUAUUUCCAUUGGUUUUCUUUCUGGUUUUGGAUUACUUACUUAUUUGGGGUUUUGUUGUAAUUUUCAGACUUUGAACUUUUUGGCUUUUAAUUUCGGCUUUUGAACUGUUGAUGAUUUUAUAAAUGAUAAGCGCAACUAAAACCUAGUUUUCUCUAAAGCAAAUAGUUUUCCUAAAAUAGAAGAUUUUCUAAAGCUUCCGCGUAAAAGAGAUAUGUUUUAAAGCUAAUCAGUGAGAACACGUUUUUUGGAUUAAGUAAAAUAUAAUAACUGAAACUAUUUUAAUGUAUCAAUGUAUUUUAAAAAAAAAACCACUCACAUAUGACAUCUCCAAAUUCGGCCAUAACGUCCAGGUUGGGUUUGGGAUGUUACAGAUGUGAUGAAUCUAAUGAGGAACAUAAGAUUUAUGAGCUUGAAUGUAUGGAUAACAUGAAGUUUCAUGGUCAAAGUAUGAAACAUGAAUCUUGAGGUUAAAGGAUGCUUGUGUCUGGAUAAUAGAAAUGUGUUAAUGUGUCUGACAGGUCUGGAUGUGUCUGUUACAAGUACGUCAAGAUAUGAUGAGUUCAUGAAAAAUGGGUCAAAGUAUGAAGAGUCUAUGUCUAUCUCUAAAGUCGCCAAAGGGGCCAUUGGGAAUAAAAACACGAAUCUCUAAAAGGACAAGUCCAUGGUCAUAGUAUUGUAGGACCAUAUCUUGUAAGACCGUAACUGGUGGGUUAUGGUAUCAUAUGGGAAGAAGACUAUAUUGUGUAAGACUGUAACUAGUGGGUUAUGACAUCAUAUGGGAAAAAUACCAUAGCGUGUAAAACUAUAACUGGUGGGUUAUGACAUCAUAUGGGAAGAAGACCAUAUCAUAUAAGACCGUAACUGAUGGGUUAUGGCAUCAUAUAAGUAGAAGACCAUAUUGUGUAAAAUCGUAACUGGCAGGUUAUGGCAUCAUAUAGGAAGAACUAAAGGAAAGUUAUUACUUAACGUGGCUCUCGAUGUAUCCCAGGAUGAUGAAGGGCAAACCUCACGAAAUGUAAGUCUAGGCAAAUCCCCAUCACCAAAACACCAGAAAAAAAGAUGCCUUUGUGGUAAAACUCUAGACAGGAAAGCCUUUGUGGCAAGUAUUGGAUUUAAAGGACUGCCUUUGUGGUAAAACAUUGGAUAGGAAAGCAUUUGUGGCGAGUACUAGAUGUAAAGGAAAACCUUUGUGGCGGAACUUUAGAAAGGUAAGCCUUUGUGGCAACCUCUGUUUAAGAAUGCCUUUGUGGAAAAUAUCUAAAAGGAAACACCUUUGUGGCGAUCUCUAUCACAGGAAAGCCUCUGUGGCAAUCUCCAUAAAAGAAGCCUUUUUGGCUAUAUCUAAAAAAGAAAUGCCUUUGUGGUGCAACCUAAGGACAGGAUGCCUUGGUGGCAAUUCUAUAAAGGAAAGCCCUUGUGGCAAAUACAAAAGAAAUAUUUGUGGCUAUUUAAAUAAAAGGAAUGUCUUCACGGAAAAUUUUGAAUGAAUGACGUGUAAGGAAUUAGGAAAGAAUGACAUGAACAACUCCUUGAAGGCAGAGUAAAGAUAGAACUCUUAAGGUAUGGUAAGUGUAAGAGAUAAUGAACUGACAAGUAGAAAGAACUAAGUAUCCAAUGAAUUCUAAAAGAAAGGCUCUGUAUGUAAUGAAAAGGCGAACCUCACAUAAUAACAAGAAAAGAAUAGUGAAGCUAGAGCACACUAAAAUAGGUGGAAAAUCUAGGAUAUGUGUUAUAGGCAUGUAUGGAUAGCACCUUGAAGUAAAAAAGAUCUAGGCGAACUUUGUAUUAAGUAAUGGGUGUAGUCAAUCUCACCCGAAGGAAGUGAAAAAAUCAGUAAGUAUGAAAUGAGAUUUUAAGUUUGUUAAUAAGGUAAAUGAAAUGGCUAAUGACUAUGUAAAGAUAAGAUUUAAGAAAGUGCAUAGAAAGUGAAAAGAUUUUAAGUAUAGUAGCUCAAAGGAAAGAAAUAAUAUUUUGAGUUUGGACCCCGAAUUUGGAGCUUAAAAGAGCGAGGGCUUAAUGAAUAUGAAAGGAAGAUAAGCCCUUAAAGGAACUAUGAGGAAGAAAAAGUUCUAAAAUAAAAAGGAGUAAUUACAAUCUGUUAAAGGAAAUCUUUCUGACAAAGGGAAUAAGGUAAAGUCUAAGGAAAUAUGUAGGACGUGCGAAGCGUCAAUGACACUUAGGUGUGAUGAAUCAUGUAUUUAAAGUUUAACUCGUUAAGUUCUUUUGAACUUAUGAAGGUUAUUUUAUGUUUCAGAUUACAAAGAAAUAUUCCCCAAGAGGGACGACGCCAGGGUUACACUAAAAGGAAGUGGCAAAAUGGGUUGUUAUGCAUACAGAGGAAGUUAAGUGGCGAGUUCAAGUUAGAGCAUAAGUUGUUUCAGUAAUGUACCAAUGUGUCUAUAGUAUACUGAGAGAUAAAAUAGAGAAUACUAAAAUUUUAUUAUCAUAAACUGUAAAUGUAACCAUAGAAUGUACGCCCAUAAGAAAUUCUUUCACAAUCAUAGAUAGAAUCUUUACAUAGGCAAAAAGCUUAAUUUACAUCUGUUAUAGGACGCAACACCUAAUGCUCAGAUUCGAUUCAUCGGGUUGUGUGGAAGGCGUUACAUAAUUGACCUUUAACAUCAAAAUUUUCACCUUCCAAAGGUAUCCGACAAGGAACCCUCUGAGUCCUUAUCUCUUUUUGUCAGGAAUGGAGAGGCUUGGGUACUAUAUUUUAAUAGCAAUUAGAAAUAGGAAAUGAAGGUUUAUUCAUCUUUCCAAAUUGGGUCAUGAUCUGCCACUUUUUUUUUUUCAAUGGAUGAUCUAAUCCUCUUUCUAGAAGUGGGUAUGGAGCAAGCCAUGGUUGUUAAGGAUAUCCUUGAUCUGUUUACUACUCACUCAAGUCAUAAAAUUAAUUAUCAAAAAACUUAGUUAUUCUUCUCACUACAUACAAGAAUUAGUACUCAGAAUAUCAUUACUUAAGCAUUAGGGUUAAAAAAGAUUGAUGAUUUGAGAAUUCAUCUUCGUAUACCUCUAUCUCAUAAAAGAGUUAAGUUGAGCACCUUUCAAUUCAUUGUUGAUAAGGUGAGAAACCAUCUAAGUAGGUGGAAUGCUAAUUCCUUAUCUUUGUUUAGCCAUAUAACCUUGGUUAAAUCAGUCCUAAUUCCAUUCCCAACUAUUUUAUACAAGUUCCCAUGAUACCAACUAGUAUUUGCAAAUAGAUUGAGCAGCUUUUUGGGAUUUCAUUUGAGGUACUUCGGGCAAUUAGAGGAAGAUAGAUCUUGUCAAAUAGAACGAAGUCUACUGAUUAAUUACUAAUGGAGGGCUCAGAAUUUGAUGGUUGAAACACCGAAAUAUGUCUUUCCUUAUGAAGUUAGGCAUUCAAUUGCAAUGUUGUUUAAAUCGAAUUGAAUCGACUAGUCAAAUUGGUUGAAUCAAGAACUGGUCAGUACAUCAAUCCGAAGAUAGUCAUUAAUUCAUUGGAAUCGUGAACCAUUUUGAAUUUUUAUUAAAUCUUCAAUCAUGAAUUGGAUAAAUUUGAAAAUGAAGUGGUUUUUACAAUUUUUAGGGUCAUUUUCGUUUAUCCCAAAUUGGAAAAAAAAAACCAAAUCCAACCUACCCCAAAAUUAACACCUAGCCUUUACCCAUCUUAAAACCAAUAUAAAAAUAACUUAACAAACCUUAUCUAAGUAGUGUGAAAUCAAUAAACUGAGCAAUCAGAAGCUUUCUCCAUUUUUUUAGAGUGGUUUAGGAAAAAAUAAGAAGAAUAGAAAGAAGAUGAACGGUGAAACCACAAUAAUCUUUAUAUUUUUAUAUUUUGAAAGAUUUAAAAAAUUAAGUACAUAAUGAAACUUUUGGAUUCAUCAUUGAUAAAGAAAUUGGGUGAAAAAAUGAAUAGAUACAAAAGAAAGAAAAAGAAUAGAUUAAGAAAAAACCAAUUUGGAGAAAAGGAGAAUGAAGAAGAGUUUAAAGUUGAACUUGAAACAUUAAAGACUUGAAAGAAUACACAAUUAAAGAUGGAAAUAAUUUUUUACUAUUAAAAUUGAUAGUCUUUAAUUGAGUUAGAAAUUAAAAAUUUGAAGUAAAUUGAUUGAUUUGAAAAUUAAAAUGCAUGAGAAUUGAGAAAAGCUUGCACCAGAAACAAGGAAUGAAAAACAUUAACAUAAAAAAGAAUGGGAUUUUAAAUUUAUUUAAAACCAUAUUACAUUAGUUUUUUUUUUGAACCAGUCAAACCAAAAUCAAUGGUUUGACCGGUUUGGUCACUAUUCUGAUUCUAAAAGCAUUGUUCAUGUAACACCCUCUACCUAACCCGAAUCAUCAGAUUCGAAUAUCGGAUGUUACAACAUAUAAACACUUAGAAAACAUUUUACAACUGAUGUAUAACCAUUUUUAAAACAUACUUCUUAUUAUUUUAUUAACUAUCUUCAGAACAAAAAUUAAAUAAAGAAAAUAUUUAAGAAUACAAUAGAUUUUCAAAGCAGCAUAAGACAUUACAACUCAAAACUUUACUAAAGACUAACAGUAUGUUUGGUUCACUGUAAUUGAAUAAGACUGUAAUUGAAUAGAGCUGUAAUGGAAUAGAGCUGUAAUCAGUAAUUCAACUGUUUGCUUGAAUGGAAUGGAAUAGAACUGUAAUAGUAUUCUUGUGUUUGGUUGAAUGGAAUGAUGUUGGAAUAGCAUAAGGAAAAAAAACUAAAAUGACCAGAAUACCCUUAACAAAAAUUUUUGUAGGUAGAUGAUUAUUGUUAUUGUUAUUAAAUUUUAAUAAAAUUAUUAUUAAAAAUAAUUUAAUAAAAAUAAUAAAUAAUUUAACCAUAUUUUAACAUAAUUAUUAUUAAAUAUAACUUAAUAAAAUAAUAUAUAAUUUAAUAAAAUUCUUAAUAUAAUUAUUAUUAUAAAAAUUAAAAAAUCAUAACUAUUAUUAUGUUUUUAUCCGUUUUUUGUGUCGUUUGUAUAUUUUUUCUGCCCUCCCUUAAUUAUGUGUCAUUUGAUUAGCAUUCAUAUUGUUACAAGAGAAAGAAUGUGAAUUGUCGAGAUUGUAGGUGAACGUAAAUUGCAUAGAGUGUGUUUAUAUUUGUAUUUAAUAGUGAAAAAAGAUUAUGAACAAUUCCAUAAGAUAUAUUCACAUAAUUUAUUACUAAUAAAUCCCAACCAAAAUAACUGAAAUUGAAAUUCAGCAACAACAUGGAGGCCAUGAUUGUUUUGGUCAAAUAGUCAUAGCCCAAAUACAAAAUAUAAUGAACAAAUUCACAUGCAUGUAGAAAGAUCAUUAGCUACUGGUCAAAUACAAAAUAUAAUGACAGUUUUGGUCAAAUAGUCAUAGCCCAAAUACAAAAUACAAAAUAAUACUAAUUAUCACCAUAGGAUCUUUAGCAGCAGAAAGAUCAUUAUCUACUGGACCUUUUUGUUUAGCUAAACUUCUAGAAUUUGCAAUCAGGCCAGAAUGCCUCCUGUGUGUAGGAUCUGCUGAAGACCAACCAGAAGGUCUGGUCUCUUCACCUGUGGAAAAUCUACCAUAUCAUCAUGUUGCUCCAGAUAAACCACGGGGCAUUAUCUAAAAAUACUAUGUGACUGAAUAUACAUAAAUAAAAGAAAUAAUCAAGUAAAAAAUAAACUAUUGCAAUAUAUGAUCAGACAAAAUUAGAAGCAAGAAAAAUAGAACAUGCUUGACUGACUAUCAGCAAUUGCACCUACAGUAGGUAAGUUAGAGCUAGUUCCAGCACCAGGGCCCUGGAAAACAUUUAAAAAUGCAACAUACAAUCAAUAAAAACUAGUCAAAGGUGGUGCAAAGUGGAUUAUUACCCUUAGAGCUCUCUUCUUCAGCUUGUACAUUAUAGAAAAUUGUUUGACCCUAGCUUUCACAGUCUCACCCAACAGAACGUUGGGUGCUUUCUUGGCAUUUUGUAGCCAUGGAUGUUCUGCAUACAAUAGUUGGGAUUAUUUUUCAUGCAUAGAAAAUAUAUAUCAAUAUAAAUAAAUCAUACAACAUUUACAGAAGGUUACCAAGCACUUCCUGUACUGUAAGAUGCUGCUUUGGAUCAGGAUUAAGCAUUUUCUUUACAAGGUCCUUUGCAUUGUCCGAAACCUUAGGCCAUGGGUCCCUCUUAAAGUCAAUAGCAGAGCGAAUAAUUUCUUGUGUCACUUGAAUCAACAACAUAAAUUAUUGCUUGUGUAUUUGGGAAAUAGCAUCUCCAAUAUGCCCUGUAAAAGAUGCAGAUUAAAAAGAAAAGUGGAAGACUAGUGUUAGAGGGUGGUGAAGUCAAUCGGCGUGUUCAACAAGCAGCAAAUUGCCCGAUGAAAGGACUAAAAUCAUCACAAAGAAAGUAAAUUGGAGAUGAAAAAUUUCAAAAAACAAAACUCCUUGAGUAAAUAAAUGAAAAAUGAUGAAUCUUCUUUCAUCUCACCUUAUUGUCCAGCUAAAGAGCAGCCAAAAAAACCCACAAGAUGUCCCCAUAUCAGAAUUAAAUAAAUAGAAGAAGCAAAGUAACUUAGAGGUUGCAUCUCCAUUAGUUAGAAGACACACCACAACAGUUAAAGCUACUUUAACAAACCAAUUUAAAACCUCAUCUAUUCCAAAAGUAUUAAGAUGUUUCCUUGAGACCACAUAGCUUAAAAACAAGUACCUGAUGCUUAUCUGACCACCUGCAAAAAAAAAAAACUACAUUUGAUUUAAACUAGAACAAAGAGUUAAAUGAAUGUUACAACUUUAUAGAAUCUCACAGCUGAUAAGCAAAAUGGAGCUACAUGUUUAAACUCAACAACUGAAACAAUUUCUCUGUAAAUUCAAGCCACAAAAGUUUCUGCUGAUAUAAUUUUAUACAAUUCAAACUGUAACUAAAAUUCCCAAAGGCCUUGUGGCAAAUGCCAAAGCAAGCAGGCCAACCAGAUAACUAUAGGAUCAAAAAUGAAAUUCAAUGAUUGUAUUUUAAGUAAAAGGAUUAUUGUAAAUUUCAAUGAUUCAAUAAAUUAAAUUGAACUCCAUUUGUAUAAACUACAUUAGCUGCUAUUUCAGAUUUAUUAACGUUAACUUACCUAAAUCUCAUACUUGAAACUUGAUGUUGUUGUAUUGUACAGUCUUUACAUUAAACCCAAUCGCUCCAAAAAAGAGUUCAAAAAAAUGGCGCAUCGAAGCUGUUAGUCAUUUAGAAAAAACAAUGAAGACCCAAAACAAGAAUGAUAAAGAAGAAUUGAGAGAGUAGCCUACAAAGGCAAACCUACUUGGAAUUGUAGAGACUACCCCACCCAUCUGAAGUCGAUCUGUUGGAAGAUGAUCAAAAUAAUAAUUAAAAAAAUGGAAUAUGACCCUAACCUGAGAAGGCGAAAGCGUCGAGGGCGAAGGCGUUGAUAGAGCUUCAGAUGUGAGGAAGGGUAAAGUUAGUGAAGAGGCAGGAAGGAAAUGGGAAAAAGAAAGAAAAAAAAAAGGUUUCAGACGUGAGGAAGGGAGAAGGGUAAAGUUGAAACUGAGACGUGAGGAAUGGCUAUUCUAUGGGUAGGGUGUUGAAUGCUAUUUAGUGUGAUUAGUGGGAAUAGAGGAGGGAUUGAAAGAGGCUGUAAUAGGCAUUACAACCAAACAUUGGUUUGGUGGUGGGCCCAUUGAAUUGGGGCGUAAUCUAUUCCUAUUAUACCCAACCAAAUAUAAUGUAAUUCUUUAUCGCGUAGUAUACUAAGCGUCAUACUCCUAUAGUGCUCUUUGUAUACAUAAUAUUGCAACUCGAACUACCACCCUGGCACAAUCCUAGCUUGGUCCCUCAUGGCGUACUCACUCUUAAAGCGAACAGCAUAAACGAACAUUUGUAAGUUGACACAAACUUAGUGAGUUUUAACCCAAAUUACCUUGAAGCAUUUCAUGUUGAAUUCAUCUUAAAGACUUUUGAUUUCCUUUCUUUCUUUGGUGGAUACUUUCUUAAUAUUAAGCGUAUACAUAUACUCCAACUUCCAUACUUAACCAUCCUACACACAAUUCACUCAUUAAACAGAUUCCAAACUUCACCACCUAAUACAGAUCUUAUUUUUUUUUGAAAACAACUACACUUCUCAAAAGGAUAUCCAUACAGAACCUACCUUCAACGGUUUCUCACUCAGUUGGAUGUUGAAUACCUUCCCCAAGAUGGUGUACUCAUAGAUACUAUUCUUAGCAGUUACUUAUAUUAACUAAUCUUUUAAGAUGAACUUCAUACAGAUCCUACAUUUGCCAGAUUCUCAUACUGAAUUGGCAACUAUCAAAUUACCAAUCAGAUCAGAUCACAACUUAUUCUGAUGGACAAAAUCUUCUAAGUCAUCCCGUGAAAUCCCAGACAACCAUGUUACAUAUAUGAGAACGCUCUGAUUUGACGGACAACUUUUACUUUAGAUAACAUUUUUAUAUACAGCAUGAAACACUCAAAUUUGGCAGAUACCAUAUAAUUUAUAUUACUUCCUUACAUAAUGUAAACAAAUUCAGAUCUGGCAAACUCUUAGACUACUCAUAUUUACGAAUAUGCCAAAUUACUUGUACUGACAGACUACUAUGGUGGAUUCACCUUUCAGAAAUACUGUUGUGAACUUUUCAGGAAACACCUUUAAGUCAUAUUCAAUUUCAUCACAAGGCUAUCCAAAUAGAGAUGUUUUCAAACUUACUCAAAUCUCUACCACAAAGUUAUCAAGUGAAGAAGUCUCUAAACUUAUCCUAAUUUUGCCUCAAAGGCAAUUAUCCAAAUCUUACCUCAAGGGCAUCAUAGAAUACGCCACACAAGUAUCACAGAAUAGGCUAGAAAGGCUUUAUAGAAUAUGCCACAAAGUGUUUACAGAAUACGCCACAAAAGCUUUACAAAAUGUUAUGUGUUUACUGUCUCGGUGGACUAUCUCAGAGGGUGUCAUGGGUUUCUCCUUCAUGGUCUUGUACAUAUUUUCAUACCAUGCUCUACUUGUCUGAUUUAUAUAUUACCGGAGGCAAAACCAUGAGUAUUCUCAUUAUCAUAUAAUGCCAUGGAUCUCUACCACAUGGUCUUACACACAUUUUCAUAAAAUGAUCUAUCAGCCCGGUUAGCAAUGUACUUGCCCUACUGGAAGCAUCACAAAUGGUUGUGUUACUCACUUAACAUGAAAUGCACUUACCCAAAUUCGUUCACACUUCUGACGAACUCAUAUUCUUUCAUAUAUGAUUUCAUAAGCAUAUAUACCACACAUCAUCUUAAUCAUGCAGCAAAUCAUAUAUAUCAUUUGUAAUUAUGCAGAACCUUUAUGAUAAUUCACACACAUACAUUCACCAACUAUCUGAGAAGACAUCAAUAUCUACCAUUAUAAACUAACAUGCAAGAGUCAGGACAAAGACUCACAUGAUACUCACCUUUACUGUAGCUCGGAGUUCCAAAUCCAAUUAUCCUUCCUGAACCAGCAGCAGCACUAGAAGGUUGAAACAUCCAUCGAUUAACCCAAAAACCUUAACUUCUAGGUUAACGAAAAGGAAAAGAAUGUUUAGAUCUAAGAAGAACUAGAGGGUGGAAUAGAAAGAAGAAAAACCAUCCCUAUGUUCUCUUUUUACCGUAUCUAUAUACCCAACUUCUCUUAGUAGAUCUUAACAAGUGGUCAUAUUUACUAAAAUUAUACUUUGUUUUCCAUACUAAAAAUUUGGGGCAAGUAAAGAAAAUCUGAUGAAGUUGACGUUUAAAGAUAAGCCAAUCAAAAAGAGAGUCAAAACAGUCCAAUUAACCAUCAACUAAUCCCAUUAUGAGAACUAACUAUAACAGUGUUCAUGCAAAUCGGGCUUAUUACACCUUGGCGGUGACUUGUGUAUAGUGUGGUCUUAAAGACACUUUGCCCCUUACAACUUUCUCAUAUACUUAGUAGGCACUUUAUGUUCAACCAAAACUCUGAGGUGUAUCUUUCAUUUGCUUACUCUUUCUUGAAUUGAAUAAUACCCCUAAAUGAAAUCCUUGGAUACUUCUACGGGCGAAUACUUUAUAUCCUAACUUUAGUUUGCCAAAAGCUUGUAAAAUGACGGACUAUGCUACCAUAGUGUGCCAAAAUAGGUAACCUUUUUCACCUUUUUGUUAAAUCAGUCUAAUUUGGGAUGUGACAGUUCAAUUGUUAACCAAUACAUAAGCACUUUGGGUUCAAGACCUUCGAAGAAAAUAUCACAUUAUAGAACAUAGGCUAGACAACAUUGCGCAAGCUAAUAGCUCAUUUGUAUGGUGUUCCUUUGUAUUUGAAGAAAUACUAUUUGGCAGGUGGGCGAUGGUAAACAGUCAAAUUUUGGUUAAGUGUUUUGAUUUCGGAUCUUGGUCCUCUUUGGAAUUAUAAGUACUCUUCCACAGGAAUUAAUCAAAAUGCUUUGGUUAAUGAGAUGACAACUUGAUAUGGGAAAUGAGAUUGGGGGAAUCUCUCUUUAUGGCUUGGUUAUAUUAUGUUGCUUCGCAUAUGUACCUUCGUCCCUUCGAGAUUAAAUGGGGGCAAAGACAUGAUAACUUGGAAAAGGACGGUUAGUGGUCAAUUUUUAGUUUCUGAUGCUUAUGUUGCCAUUGCAAUUCAGAAUUGGAUGCCAUUAAUAGUUGUUGGAAAGUUCUUUGGAAGCUUUAAUGUCCACAAAAAGUUAAGAGUUUCCUUUGGCUUCUUGUGAAGAACUGACUCUUAACUAAUACGAAGAGAUGUAACAAGGGAAUCGCCAUCAAUGCCUCUUCUCACCUAUGUGGGGAAGUUCAAGAGAGUUCUAUUCAUGCAAUGAGGGGUGGCUCAGGCCUGAUACACGCGUGGAAAACCUUGGUGCCUCCUUAUCUUCAAGUCAAUUUCUUUGCCUCAAAUUUGGUGGAUUGAGGGAUGGCUAAUUUGAAUAUGUCCACUACCUAUGUUUCUAGUAAUGCCUAUUGGAACACUCUCUUUGGAAAUGUAUGUUGGAUGUUCUGGAAGAAGCAUAAUUCCAUGGUGUUUAACGAUUAUGGUAUUGACUCUAGCAAUAUACUUAGUACUUGCAUUAGUUGGACUCAAGACUAUAAAGACAAUAGACUAAGGGGUGGUUUGAGAAUCUUGAAUGUUUGAAAACAGUUUGGUUGGAAACCACAACCAAUUGCUUAGUACUUUCAAUCCUUGCCAUCACUUGGUGUUUAUUGUUUUGUAUUUGUACUUGAACUGCCACAAACCUUGGGUAGUAGGAAAUAUUGAGGAUAGCAAGGUAGGUGAUGGUAUUGCUUGAUUCAUGGUGGUGUUAGCUAAAAUAUGUUUGUGUUGUGCGACAACUUUUUCUAAAGAUUAUUGUAAUCAUUUUUUGAAUUAGAAAUAAGACUUAAUAGAAUAGGAGACCUUUAAAUUAUAUCUUUUGUUUGAGUUAGUAUCUAAAUUAGUUUUUGUUCAAAUCAAGUAUCUAAAUUUUGAAUUGCGAACCAUUUUGAAUCGUUAUGAAAUUGUCAACUAUAAAUUGGAUAAAUCGGUAAAUGAACCGAUUUUUACAAUUUUUGUGUCAUUUUCUUCUAGCCCAAACUAGAAAAAACCACAACCAAAUCCAAUCAGCCCUAAAAAAUAACACCCAGCCUUUACCCAGAUUAAAACCAAUAUAAAAAGGAACUUAAAAUAACCCUAAUCUAAGCAGUGUGAAAUAAAAAAAAACUGAGCAAUCAAAAGCUUUCUCCAUACUUUUUAAAGUGAUUUAGAAGAAAUAAGAAGAAUAAAAACAAGAUGAACGGAGAAACAAUAACAAUCUUCAUAUUUUUAUAUUUUAAAAGAAAUGAAAAAAUAUGUACAUAAUGAAACUUUUAAAUUCAUCAUAGAUAAAUAAAAUGGGUGGAAAAAAAAAAGAUGAAUGAAUACAAAAGAAAGAAUAAGAAUAGAUUAAGAAAAAAAAACCAAUUUGGAGAAAAGGAAAAUGAAGAAGAGUUGAAAGUUGAACUUCAAACUUUAAAGACUCGAAAGAAUAAGAAUUAAAGAUAGAGAGAAUUUUUAAGUAUUAAAAAUUGAUAGUCUUUACUUGAGUUAGAAAUUGAAAUUUUGAAGUAAAUUGAUUGAUUUGAAAAUUAAAUUGCAUAAGAAUUGAGAAAGCUUGCACCGGAAACAAGGAAUAAAAAGCAUUAAGAUAAAAAAAAGAAUGGGAUUUUAAAUUUAUCUAAAAAAAUUAUAUUAGAGUUUUCUUUUUAAUUUUUUAACCGGUCGAAAUGGUCGAACUAAAAACCAAUGGUUUGAUCACAAUUCUGAUUCUAAAAAAAUCAAUGGUUUGAUCACAAUUCUGAUUCUAAAAACAUUAUUGAACUGUUAACCAAUACAAAAGCACUCUGGGUUCAAGUCCUUCGAAGCAAAUAUCACAUUAUGGAACGGACAGCAUUGCGCAGGCUAACAGCUCUGGCGUUCCCUUGCAAGAGUUUGGGAAGAUAUUUGCAGAAAUAUUAUCUGGCAGGUGGGCGACAGUCAAACAGUCGAACUUUAGUUAGAUAUUUCUAAUGCUUACGUGGCAAUUCCCUUAAUAAUCAUGCCAGCACGAUCAUAUUCGACUUGCCUCCUUUGCCCCAAGAGAAGCUCUGCAUUGCCAUACUUUUCCAUUUCCAUAAUGGUAUCCUUAGUCUUUCAUUUCACCUUCUCUUUAAUGACCUUAUAAUUCCUAAAGAGGAGUUCAGCUUGGGAUGGAGCAGCCUGCAUAUGAAUAUCUUGACCUUUAUCAAAUGCUUCCUAUGCAUGAAUAUUGAGCUGCUUGAACUCCAAUGCUUGCCCACCCAUUCUAUAUUGAUUAUCACCCUGCAAGAUAACAAAUAAACAAGUCAGAAUUCAUUAUUUAAUCAACUUUAUGGCAUAUAGAUAUGAAAGCAAUUAAAGGAAAAAAUUCUGCACGAUACUCACUCCAUACAACUCAUUAGGAUCAGCAUCAGGAAGAGGAUCUUCAUGCAUCGAUCGAGUUUUGGGAUCAUAAUAAGCAGAAUUGACAUCAAGAUUCAAAAGAUAUUUCGCUGUCUUCCCAAAUACACAAAUUCCUAAAAGGAAAAGGCAAAUAUGAAAUAAGAAUACUUGUUUUAUGUUGCAGGGAAGAAAUGUUCUUUAGAAACCAAAAUAAGUAAAAAUAAUACAUAAAAAAUAAGAUACAAUUGAGGAAAGGUAUAAUAAAUGUACCUGACAGUUCCCAUGCUCCCUCCAGCAGUGGUACGAACACGUUUCGCAAGCUUAGCAAAGUCCAUUUGUUUGCUCUCAUCAAUCUUAGCUUCAUCAACCGUUCAGAGCAUCAUCUUCGUCACUAACCUCUCCUCCCUAUCCCUCAUUUUUACUAUUUUUCUCCUCCAACUUUUUCAGCUGCUGUUUUUUCAGAUACUUCCUUCUAGCCUCAACCCUUGCCUCAUACCUUUCAAUUACGCGAGCAUCUGUAGAUGCAUCAUAACGAUUCCAUGUAUCACACUUGCCAUCAUAAUCCUGCUCGAAAGUCUCUAUCUUCUCAUCGGGUGCAAUGCGCAUGUUCGUCCAUUUUGCAAGCUUUUUACGAGGCCUCUCUAUGCAUGAUUUUGCAUCAUGUGUCAUGGCUCCACAGCUACAACAAACAAUAAAAAGGGAAUAAAAAAUUAUGAAUUGUGGCAUGAUAAGAGUUUAAAGCACAAAGGACACAAACUCGUUUCACCAUCUAAACUAAAACUAUUUAAUCCCAUAUAACAAGUAUAGAGUGCAUAAGCUACAGAACGUUCAACUCGAUCAAUUAAUAAGUAUCUUCCAUGAUUCAUACCAUUGUGUUUGAAAGAAAACAUGAAUUUCAUUAGCCAACAUAACCCAGCUAUUGUCUGAUGUGGCAGCAAAAAGUUCUAUCAUUGGAAUCUAUCCCUAUAUGGUUAGCUACAAAAAUGCCUAAAUGACUUCUAUCUCAAUAUGUCAACAAAUAGGCUCGUCACUUAUUAGAGAGGAAUGCCAUUACUAGUACAACUAAACAUCUAUUGCAUCACUUCCGAAUAAAUAGUUAGAUACGGAACAUAUAAAAAAAGGAAUUACAACCUUAUUCUUGUUUGCUAAACAGAAAAUUUCAAAGAAACAGCAAGAGGAAGUACAUUAGCUUUAAGUCAUAUUGCACGACAUUUUAACCUACAAUUUUAGCUUCACAUUAACCAAGAAUCCAUCUUAUUAACCAGAAUUUUAAUCCCCUUUUCUACCCCCGAAAUGAUUAUAUCAACCAGUGCGAUCUAAAAUCUAAAAAACCCAUUAAAACACGAAACAAGGCAUUCAUAGACACACCAACAAGUAGGGUGCACAAUAAUAGAUAAAAGAAAAAGAGGUUCGCUUACUUCUCGCAGGCUCCUUUCGAUAUUUUUCAGCUUGAAAUAUCUUCGCGCCUCUAUCGUACCAAGAUUUGGUAUAAUUAGGAUCGGAUCUCCACUUCCGUUGAUGCUUCAAACUAGGUCUUUCAGCGUUAAAAUACCAUGGUGCUGAUGAUAUAUACUGAGGAAUAUGAGGGUUAAUUUCUUUUCCAUCCUCGUCAAACUCAGCCGGCGCAAGCCCCCCUUUCGAGCUUCCUCUAAUUCCAGCUAUUUCCGGUGAUCCUCCCUUGAUUUAAAAGCCACUGAAAUUCCAAAACAAUUACAGAUAAAAUUUAAAAAUCUCUCUUCCGGCAUCGAAAGAAAUCGGAAGGAAGAAAUUGGGGGAAAAGGAAUAGAGAACGUACCUGAUGCAAUAGCCAUGUUGAAUCAAUAAAAUAAAAUUAGGGUUUUGAAGAUGAAAUUUCACAAAUUGAUAGAAGAAUAUGUAAAUACGGAAUCGAAGAACCCUAAUGAAGUCUAUUGCGUUGCGGAUUUUGCUAGUUUUUCCUUUUGAUGUGGGUUGAUUCUAAGAUUGAAAUUUAACACAUGAGCAGUCCGGUUAGAUGGAUAAAUAAUAAUAAUUUCAUCCAAAUGAUUAUUACUUUCUAAGUUUUUUUAGUUUUUUUAAUUAAUAACUUUUUAUUUAUAAUAUUAAAUAAUAAAUAUGUAAUUAUAUAAUAAAUAUUUGAAAUUAAUAAGUUAUUUAUUUAUAUAAAUAAAUUAAUAAUUACAUAAUAAAAAUAUUUUUUAUAUUUAUUCUUAUGUUAAAUAUAUUUUAUUUUUUAAAAACAUCAAUUAAUUUUUUAUAUUUUUCUUUAUAUAUAAUAGCUAUAUAUAUUAAUAUUUAUUUUCUCCACUUAUAUUGUAGUUAUAGUGAUUUCUAAUAUUAUAAAAUAAAAUAAUUAUUUUAAAUAUAAUUAUUAUGUUUAUAUGUAAAAUAUUUCAAAUAUCAUUGUUUUUUCAUCUAAUUUGUGGGUAUAAUAUUUCAAAUAUUCAGCUGACAAGAAGACCUCCAUUUCAAUACUGACAAUGAUAUCGCGAUAUCCAGAGUUGGAUAUCGCAAUAUCAUUGUCUGGAUAUCGCAAUAUCAUUGUCUGGAUAUCGCAAUAUCAUUGUCAUCAAGGGACAAAAAAUGACAGCAUAGGCAAUGUUUGUCCAAUCGAAACACCAACCAGGAGAGGUCCGAUCAAGGGCAUUUUGGUCAGAAUUUGCUACUAAAUCAACCAAAAUUGGUUGAGGAAAGAGGAGGCCACACAUACGAUAGUUUGUGCUUUAGUUUUCUUAAGUUUUCUCUUGUUCUUUUCCAGGGCUAAAUCAUCAAUUUCUAAUUCUUUUGACUCAAAAUAUAGUUUUUCAGCAGGUACAUCGUCAACGAUAAAAGCAAGUCCAAUAAUAUUUGUCACAAAUUCAUUAGUAGAAGAUGGAUUAAUAUCAAUUUCAGAAACAUGAUUUUCAAUAAGAUUCUCAAUAAGAGUAGAAUCGGAUAUAACUUGUUGAAUUGUAGCUUAAAUUAGGGAAACUAUUUUCUCUUUUAGCAUUGGUUCAUGUUCAACAACAAAGGGAUUGCAAAGAUUUCAACAAUCUCAGUAGCAAUCAUUUUGAUUUUUAAAAAAAAAAAGGCUUGUCUUUUGGAUUAGGGCUUGACUUCUCAUGAUUAUCUAGUUCGACAACAAGCACAUCGGUAUCCUCAACCAUAGUUAUAGCCUGAGCAGUGACACCUUAUAUCCGACUCAAUUGUUGAAUCCGAAUAUAAAAUGUCACAUUUUGUUGUCAAAGCAACUGACAUUUCCUUUUUUUUUUGAAAAGGAAACAUAGUGGUAAAAUUAAUUUAUAAAAAUUUCAGCAGUAUUUCUACCUAUUUUACUUAAAACCUCCUACAAAAAAAAUUUAGAUUUCACAAUAUAAUCACAUUCAAUUCAUCUCCCAAAUCAAUCGCCCAUACUUCGAUUUCUCAAAACAUACCAAUAAACUAGAUUUCUACGCUUUACUAUUUCAUCCAAAACAUUAGUUAUAAAGUACUAGCAAAGAAAACAUAAUGAAAAUAUUUAAAUUCAGUUUACGACAUAAUAUUAUAUAUAUAUAUACAAGCUUAGGUACAUGCCAUUUACAUUAACUAUAAAGUAAACUCUUCACCAACAUUGUUUGAGCUGAACUUCGGUUCUUCGGAUGCUGCUGGAAUGAUCUAGCGAAUCUAACCACCUGCGCACAGAAAAAUAGACAAACCGUAUGCUGAGCAAUUUUUAUGCUUAGUGAUACUAAUAUCAUAUAAAUCAUUACAUAAAUAUUGAACACAAAGUAAUUGAUAGAAAUAAACUAAAAGAUGAUUAUAAAUAUCAUUAAUAACAUCACAAUAAAAGAAAAUUCUAAUAUUAAUAAACUUUAAUAUUUUGAUAUUGACAAAUUAAGUAAAGAAAAUAAGCUUUUUAAUUAAAUUCAAAAUAGUGUAAUUAAUUUAAUUUGCACAAUAUGGAAAUUCAAAUAAAUUCAAGUUUUGUUUUUGCUUACCUUUUAAUUUAGAUCUCAUACUAAAGUUUAGACUUAUAACUAGAUAAACGAAUUCGUCACCUCGAGUUGUUAGGCAAUGAUGGCUAUCAAAGUAGUCCACGACCCUCUGGUAAUUGAGGCUGCCUACGAUCCUCUGGGAAUUGGGGCUAAUAAUAAUAAAAUCUGACCAAUUUGGUCUUUCCUCCUUCGACCCUCUAGGAAUUAGACAGUUCUAAAUCCUCAAAUAUAAAGACUCUAUGGCAUGCCAAUUAUAUCUGAUUUACUCUAACAUAGUGUAACGGGGUAAAAAUCAAGUUCCCUGAUCUGUUUCAAUUCAAUUCCAUUUUCAUAUCAUUCUCAUUUCAAUUUCAUUUCAUGUUCAAAUCAUAUAUCCCUAAUAAACCAUUAAUGUAACAUGUUUUAAUCCUAUGCUUGGCAUGUUUUUGGGUGAUUUAUUACAUAAAUUAGUGAAUUCGGUGCUCUUAAUCCUUUAAUUUUAUGUUUUAUACUUAGAAGAGCAUGGGGGAACAUAAGAAGCAGAAAAUGGGCCAAAAAUGGACAAAACGGCUGAUUUAAAUAUCCACAUGGCCAAGACCAUUUCCACACGGGCUGAGCACACGCUCGUGUGAGCCACACGGGCUAGCCACACACCCAUGUGGCAGCCCGUGUUGAUAUCGCUCCCUAUUUCCCAAAUACGCAGAAAAAUCCAAUUUUUAGGGUUUUUGAGCAUUCUAAAAUCUAUAUAACACUAGAAGUAGACCUAAGGGGGACACACAGAGUAGAAAGCAGAAAUUACUCGAAGGAAGCCGUUGGAAUCAUCUCGGACGCAGAUCCACUUCAAGAUUGAAUAUCUCCAUUCAAAUUUCUCUCUAAGUUUAUUUGGGUUUUUUAUGUCUUGUUAAUUUUCUAAAAUUUAGAUGUUUUCCUUUUACAUUAUGAGCUAAACUCCCUCAAUACCUAGGGAGGAUGAAACCUACAAUGGAUCUUAUUACUUAAUUAUCUGAAUUACUUGAUAAAUACUUGUUCUUGUUCUUAAUUAUGUGUUCUUAAUCCUUGCCUUAAUAUUUUCAAGAUAUUAAUCCAAGUUUAAUUUGCUUAUUCAGUGGAGCAAAAGUCCUUGUUUAAGAGUAGAUCUAGCAUAAUUAAGCGGAGUUGCAUGCAAUCCUAGAAAUAGGACAAUAUAAAUCUGCCGGAUUAGAGUCAAAUCUAAUAGGGGAAUCCAUAAAUUGAGUUUAUGCGACGAUAAGGGUUUUAAUUAGAAAGAGAUUUCAAUUAAUCAACCUAGAGUCAGUUGUUCUUAGUCUCGAAAGAGAUAUUAACAUAAUUUAGGGAUUUCUACGGAUCAAGACAAGUGAAUAAAUCGUUUGAUUCAGAAUCAGAAUAAUAAGUGAUGUCUAGGUGGAUUCUUUCCUGGGUAUUGUCCUAUUCAUAAGUUUUCUUCAAGUAUUUUUUCCAAUUUGCUCUUUGUCGUGUUCAUAGUUAAUUAGUUGAGUUAAAAUUAGAUUAAAACAAAUCCCUUUAAUUAUAGGCUAAAUAAUAGAAAGAUAAUUAUUACUAGUACUUUUAGUCCUCAUGGAUACGAUAUUCCGAACUCACCAUAGCUAUACUACUAAUCGAUAGGUGCGCUUGUCUUAGUUGAAAUAUUAGUUAGUUUCAUGACCCAUCAAGUUUUUGGCGCCGUUGCCGAGGACUAAAAUAUUAGGAACACUUAAUUUUUAUUAAUUUAGUCAUUUUUUAUUUUAUUGCAUUUUAUUUUUGUUUUAGUUUUAUUUUUUUAAAUACUAAUUUUUCUUUUAUUUGCUUUUGGCAGGUUUUUUUUAGUUUAUGACUAGAAGAAAUCCGUCAGGACCUCUAUUAUUUGAUAGUGAAAAUGAAAGCACAACUCAUAGAAAUCGUAGAGAAAUAAGGCGGAGUCUACAGUAGAUAGAGGAAGAGCACAAGGAUGAUACCAAUAAUACUGAGGAGAUGGCUGAAAAUUGAAAUAAUCCAUUACCUCCUGUGGUUGUUGUGAAUCCUGUAAAUCAGAAUCCUGCUCCUCGUAUUAUGUACGACUAUGCCAAGCCUAAUUUAGCAGGGGCUGAAUCGAGUAUUGUAAGACCUGCUAUUGCUGCAAAUAACUUCAAACUAAAGCCGAACACCAUUCAGAUGAUCUAACAAUUUAUUCAAUUUGAUGGUUUGCAAGAUGAGGAUCCAAAUACUCAUUUGGCUAACUUUCUGGAGUACUGUGAUACUUUCAAAAUUAAUGGCUUUCUGAUGAUGCCAUUUGCCUUCAGUUAUUUCCCUUCUCAUUGAGGAAUAAAGCUAAACAGUGGUUGAACUCUCUACCACAAGGGUCCAUCACUACAUGGGAGCAAAUGACCGAAAAGUUUCUGUUGAAAUACUUUCCGUCGGCAAAGAUGGCAAAGUUGAGGAAUUAUAUCUCGUCCUUUGUACAAAUGGACUGAAAAACCCUAUACGAUGCAUGGGAGAGGUAUAAGGAUUUAUUGAGAGGGUGCCUUCACAUGGAUUACCCUUAUGGUUACAAUUUUAGACUUUCUACAAUGGUUUGAACCCCUCAACUAGACAACUGAUUGAUGCAGUUGCUGGUGGUACCCUAAAUAAUAAAACACCUGAGAAGGCUUAUGAGUUUAUUGAAGAGAUGUCACUGAAUAAUUAUAAGUGGCAAGUCAUGAGGACAAAGUCGACAAAAGUCGCUGAUGUUUUUAACCUCAACACGAUCACCAUGUUAUCAAACUAGGUAGAGCUCUUAAAUAAAACGAUUGAUGGUUCAUGUGUUUCUAGGCAGGUACAUUUGGUGAUGCAGUGUGACACAAGUGGAGGAGGAAUGAAUAAUCCAGAAUGCCUAGCCUACGACCCUAGCACUACGAAUAAACAAGUCAACUAUAUGGGUAACAAUUCUAGACCUCAGAAUAACCCCUAUAGUAAUACUUACAAUCUAGGUUGGAGGAACUAUCCCAACUUCUCUUGGGGUGGUCAAGGUAAUCAAAGAUUGCAACCUCUUCCAGGUUUUCAACAACCGCCUUACCAGCAGGAGAAGAAGCCGAACCUUGAGAAGAUGCUAACGAAAUUCAUCUCGGUGUCAGAAAUACGUUUCCAAAACACCGAAACAAUACUUAAAAAUCAACAAGCGUCGAUUCAAGGGCUCUAGAAUCAAAUAAGUCAGCUUACUAAGCUGAUAUCAGAAAGACCACAAGGUAGCUUGCCUAGCAACACCGAGACUAACCCAAGAGAGUAGCUCCAUACGAUUACUGUUCGAUAUGAAGAAGGGUUAGUUGAGUCCAAACCAGAACCAAGAGAAGAAAGCGUGGU
RNAcentral lists this long non-coding RNA (46846 nucleotides) under Gossypium barbadense (sea-island cotton). Its description in RNAcentral is "long non-coding RNA (GBAR_LNC000483)". Lineage: Eukaryota; Viridiplantae; Streptophyta; Magnoliopsida; Malvales; Malvaceae. The record is from RNAcentral.